Molecule: long non-coding RNA, 76638 nt
Filed under: Solanum tuberosum (potato)
Lineage: Eukaryota; Viridiplantae; Streptophyta; Magnoliopsida; Solanales; Solanaceae
Description: long non-coding RNA (STUB_LNC003313)
Source: RNAcentral
UUUUUAAUUGAGAAAUGGCAUGGCUGUAGGGGUAUUUUUUUUUCUUCAGAAAACAAUACUUUGCCAGGAACGCAAGACAGUCCAUCGCCAUCAUCUUUGAACAAAUUUGUCAACUCCCUCUGUAUGUUAAAGCUUCAAAUAUCAUUUUUAGGGUUAGAUAUAAAUCCAAAGAUAAAUUUGAUAUCUCAUUAUUACAAGAAGGAAGAAUGAAGUUCAUUGUUUGAUCCGCUUUCCUUCAAAUUUCACGCAAUACAUAGCCGCUUUUAACCUGCCGGUCCCCCUUUCUAGGUGAACUUUCUCAGCUCCUCCUCAAUUUCAUUUUCAUUAUUUUUACAUUAUGAUCUUCUGCCCAUCUCUUUUUCUAUAUAAUCACCUUUCCGCUUUCCCAUACCGUGUCUGCCUAUUUACAGUUCCUAGCCUCACGGAUCUGAUUAUCUUCGGCGGUGAUGCUCCUGCUCCUCGAAAGUCUACCAAAGUUGCAAAAACACUACUCACUUCACUCUGAACAAUCUUUGAGGCUCUUCCUGAUCUCUUCCAUCCAUGGGCGAGUGGGUAAUUGGAGCCGUUAUCAACUUGUUUGGAAGCAUUGCCAUUAACUUUGGAACCAACCUCCUUAAGUUAGGUCAUGAUGAGGUACUUUCUAACCUUUAUUUUGAUGUUCCACAUUACAGAAAUAUCUGCCCUGUGCUUUGAUGUUCCUGAUCUCUUCCAUUAGUUUGUGCUCACAUUGGUUGUCUUAAAGUGUAGGCAAAUGAAUAAUUGCUUAACUUAGAAAAGAGGAAAUUGAUUAGGUCAAAGUCUAAUUCUGGUGAAGUAUAGUGUCCAUGUCCACGCCAAAUUAAAAUAAUUGGGGCCUCCAUAUUUGAGCAUGCAAUGCAACACUUGUCUCUUUUUUUUGUUAAGAAGGAAAAAAAAAGUCUCGCAAUUCAUGCUCAAAUAUGGAAUGCAAGACGUGGUGCUACAAAGGGGAUAUACUCUCAUUUAAUAUAGCAUGGUUCACUUUUACUAUUGUUUCUUCGCUCUCUUUUUUUUUGUAAUGGAAGGAAGUAGGAUUCCAAAUGGUACCUUUGAGUUGAUGGAUGACUUUAUACAAAUAACUUGUUUGUUUGUACACUUCCAUUCCCAUUACACCUGUCUAUUUAUGGGUUUCUCUUUUUGUUGCAAUCAUUGAUUGGACGCAGUAAGAAGUAUUCAUGAUGCAUCAGUGUUGAAUUUAAUGUGAUAUUAUCUACUUAGGCAUUAGUUUUCAUUUCUGUACAAACUUUGAUGAGAGAGAUGGACAACACAUGUUCUUUUUGGCUUACUAAAUCUAUCCAACAAUCUUAAAUGCAAGUAUUAAAGCAAAUAAUAGUGACUCAAUACUGUUGGACUAAUAAUGGAAUUGUGAUACACUUUGGUUAUGCGGGUUGAUAACAUGGCUGCAUAAGAAGUGACUCAAACACUUUUGAUUUUACGAGAUAACAAUAUGGUUGGAUGGAGGACACGUUGAAGUUGAUCAAUGUUUGCCGUAAGUCAUAUUACACAUAUAUGAAGCAAGAUUAUUUAGGGGUGAUAAGUGCGUCCAAUAUUAGAGGGGAACAUGAAGUAAGAAGAGGGGAACAAGAGAACCAAUAAAGUUAUGACAAACUUUCAAAGUUCAUUGAGGACAUAAAUUAGUAGACUUGAUAUGGAAGGGGGAAAGUAUUCAUGGAAGAGGGGUGAUAGACAUGUAAGUGCAGCAAGAUUGGAUAGAUUUCUCAUCUCUUAUGAAAUAGAUGACAUCUUCGGACACAUCAAACAAUCUAUAAUACAAAGAAUAGUUUUAGAUCAUGCUCCCAUUAUGCUAUAGUGUGGAGAACGGAAAAAAUUAAAAUCUUACUUCAAGUUUGAGAACUAGUGAUGGCUGCAGCCAAAAGGCUUCAAUGAGAGGGUAAAGGAUUGGUGGGACUUAUUCAAUUAUGAGGGCAAUCCUGUAUUUAUUCUAAUGGCAAAAGUGAGAGCUCUAAAAAUUAAACUAAAGGAAUGGAGUAAGACAAUAUAGGGGAACUUAGGGACUCAAAAACAAAAUGUCUUGGCUCAACUAGAUGCAAUAGAGUAGAUACAUGAGAACAGAGCUUUGCAGUAGGAGAAUAUUGCCUCCAUAUUAUCUCUCACAAUGGAAUUUUAAGACAUAAUAAGGAAGGAGGCGAUUGUUUGGAGACAAAGAUCCAGAGCAACAUGGCUAAAAUACGGGUAUAAGAAGACAAGCUUUUUCCACAAAAUUGAAAAUGUCCUUAGGAAAUUCAAUACCACUGACAAGUUGAAGGUGGGUAGGGUUAUGGUGGAGGAUCCAAAAGAGAUGAAGACAGAGAUAGUCUCAUACUUUGACUAUACGUAGAAACAGAGGAAUGAAGACCAUAUCUACAAAUGGAAAACUGUCCCAAAAUUAUUGAUAAGAAGAACUUGUUAUUGAUGGCACCUUUUGAAUUCCAGGAGAUUUUGGAAAGCAUUAAAGCUUGUGUAGAGGACAAGGCACCUCACCUAAUGGAUACUCUAUGGAGUUCUUUAAGUAGUGUUGAGAAAUUAUCAGAAUGGAGCUUGUAGCAGCAAUUCAAAAUUUUCAUGAGAAGGAUUUCUUAAAAAGAAGUAUGGAAAUGCACCUAAGGGUCGCCUAAUUGUCAAUGAAUUGGUUGAGAACCUUGAUGUCUUAGGUUCAAAACUCAGUGGAGACAAAAAAUACUAGGUGAUUCUUUCCAUCUGUCCUAGCCUUGGUGGAUAUAAUUUCUUGGUACCUGUUGCUGGUGGGAGGUGGCAGGUUUCAAGUGAAAUUAGUCAAGGUGCGCGAACGCUGGCCUGGAACCACGAUCAUCAAAAAAAGAGAAGUAUGAAAGCUACCUUUGUAACAUUGAUUCCAAAGGAAGCAGGGGCAAAAGGGCUAAAUGACCACAAACCCAUAAGCUUAAUUGGGGGAGUGUACAAGAUCAUAGCCAAGCUUCUGACAGAAAGGCCGAAGAAGGUAAUUCAUGGUUUGGUUGAUAGACAACAAAUGACCUUUCAUCAAAGGUAGACAAAUAAUGGAUGUAGUGUUAGUUACAAAUGAAUAUGUGGACUCUAGACAAGGUAGUAGGAAGCCAUGAAUUGUUUGCAAGUUGGACAUUCAGAAGGCUUAUGACCAUCUGAAUUGGAAGUUCUUAUUACCACUGCUGGAGAAAAUGGGGUUUGGUCCUAGGUGGAUCAAAUGGAUAUCACAAUGUAUACACAGUCAAAUUCUCAAUAUUAAUCAAUAGGGAACCUAAUGGGUUUUCCCCAUCUCAGAGAGGUCUGAGACAAGGUGAUCCCUUGCCUCUUUUUUUUCUUCAUAUUAGCUAUGGAAGGAAUGAACAACCUAUUGAAUAAGGCGAAGAGGAAAGGAUGGAUCAAAGGUUUCCAAAUGGGAGAGAAAAAUAGUUUGGAGGUAAUACACCUUCGGUAUACAAAUGACACCUUGAUAUUUUGUGAGGCAGUAGAGGAAUAAAUCCUAAUUUUGAGGUUAUCUUUAUUAUUUUUGAAGCAGUCUCUAGGUUGCAUCUAAUCUGGGAAAAUAGUUUCAUAUACCCUAUCAACACAGUAGAUGAGAUAGAGAACCUUGCAAGCAGACUUGGGGGUAAGGUGGGAGAGAUGCCAACAACUUACCUUGGAAUGCCUUUGGGAACUAAAAGUAAAUCAACAAGGAUUUGGAAUGUGGAGAAAUGAACAAGGAUAAACAAAUUUGAAGAGCCAAUACCUAUCUAGGGGUGGUAGAUUGAUACUAAUUAAUAGUGAACCGGACACUUUACUUUCUUAUUUGAUGUCUAUCUUUCCAAUACUUGCUAGUGUAAGUAAAAGAAUAGAUGCACUGAGAAGGAACUUCUUCCGACAGGGAAAAGAAGACAAGAAGAAGUAUCACCUAGCCAAUAGUUUAUUGUAUUUAAAUCUUGAAACUUACAUACAAAUAGAAUGAUGCCAAUUGUCAACCAUAUUGUACCAUCUCAAAUGAAAAGUGUGCCAAAUAAAUUGGAAAAAAAUGAGUCAUUAUCCACGGAAAAUCUCCCGCUGAUGAAUUAUUUAAGAAGCUCUUCAACGAAUAAUAUGCUUGACAUCAAUAUAACGGAGACAUGCUUGUUAUCUAACAAGGAGGCAUAGGUUGGUGUAGAAGUGUUCACUUCCAUUUGUUCAGUUGUUGGAAUUAGUAUAAUCUUGUAAGAGCAUCUGCAUUUUGUUUUUGAGUUCUUCUUUGUCGCAUGUUAUGAGAGGUUUGCGUAAUGAUUUAUUGGUAUGGCUGUAUUUUGAUAUUCUUUUGUUCUUUUCUUUCUUUUCUUGUUAUCCUCUGUCACCAGAGGCUCGACUUGUAUUUUCUUUAGUAGCUCUAAUGAAUCAUAAAUAUUUCAGAGGGAGAAGCACUCUGUGCUGGGUAAUGAGGUAACAAAUGUAAAGUCUACAAUGAAGCCAAUUAUAUACUUCCAAACAUGGAGAGUUGGUAAGCAUUGCUUUUGAGUUUGUCUCUUUACAAGUACUGAUCCCAUUUUAGUGUAUUGAUGGUGUUAUCUUUUACACAGGUAUUCUAUUCUUUGCUAUAGGAAAUUGUCUCAAUUUCGUUUCAUUUGGAUAUGCUGCUCAGGUCCGUACUUAUUGGUUCUUGUCUAGUUUGUCUUCAAAUUUAGUGGGCUGUGUUGACUUUGGGCACGAAAAGUAGGUAAACUAGGGGUAGUGUUAUCAAAAGCGAAAAUCACAAAAAAGCUUUAAGGUCUAUUGGGGCUUUAAGCACCAAGCGCUAAUAAAGGGCUUUAAAGUAAAAAGGUGUAAAUUGAGAAAAAAAAAUACUAAUAUAUAUGUUUAGUCCAAGACUAAUAAUGUUUUUUGAGAAGACGUCCGGGACUAAUACUAAUAAGCAUGAAUCAUCAUAUAUUUAUAUAAAAGAGAACCCUAGGCCCGCCUACGUGGUGCCACCACAAGUCAGGAUUUCCUUUUAAAUUUAUUUAUUUCCAAAACUAGCCUUCCCCUUUCAUGAAAAGUUGUGACUUUUAUGAAGAGUUGCGACUUUUAUGAAAAGUUAUAACUUUUAUGGAAGGUUGUCACCUUUUCGAAGGGUUGUAACUUUUUCAAAGAGUCGUGACCUUUCUGAUAUGGCACAAUAAACAUUUGUUCACACUACUAUAUUUUGUCAAUAAAUAGAGGGAUUUCCUCUCAUUUUAAAACAACAAAAAAUUUGAACUACUUUUUCUUCUUCUGCACAAUUAAAUAUUCGUGUACUUUACUCCUGUUGAGUGGUUCACUCACACCAUUGUUUUUGUAUCAAUACACUGGUGAAUAAAAUCGUUCUAUCCUGAGAGGAUCUAUUCCUUUAAACCUCGGGUACUAGAGGGGAAUAAUUUCCUUAAGGAGACACUGUACAUUCAGUGGGCUCGAUUUUUCCUUUCUGUUUCAUUCUGUUGUUACAGAUCCUGGUAUGUUUUUUAACAGUUAUUAAUUUAUGCGUUAUUAAUUGCUGUUUUUGAGUACAUGUUUUAAACUAUGUUGUUUAUGUUUCUACAAAGUUAUUGUUAUAAGUAUUUGUUAGUACAAAUUAAAUAACAUACGUUAAUUGAGUAUUUACACAAGUUUUCUCUACUAAAAUUGUUGAAGGUACAAUAAAAAAAUUUCCUUAAAGAUCUACACUACCAUCUCUGGAAGACAAAAUUCAAAUUUGGUAUGCCAUUGUAAGGACAUAUAGACCUUAAAAACUUUAUCUCACCUUGAUGUGCGAAGUGAACUAGAAAAAGAAGACAAUAAUUAAUAAACUUUUGACAUGGGUUCAAUGAUAUGCCAGAUGACCUAUAGAGGAAUAUGACUAGACUGGAGCUUGUUUUAAUCCCAAAUACAUAGAUAACUACACAAUAAAUUAAUUCCCAAUAUUCAAUAUGAAGUAUGGACAAAUUCUCAAGUUUACUGUAAGUUGUAAAUACUUUUCUUGUAGUAAUAAAAGGGUUUCUCGACACUGCGAUUGGAAUAGAAGUGUAUCAAAUUGAACUUCAUCACUGCGGUAUGUUGAUUUUUAAAGAACACCCAAACAAACUGAAUAGUUUUGUGUAAUAAUUUUUCCUUUCAAGUAUAUAUAAUAAGUUGAAUUGUUGUCCAAUUUGAUACCUCUUUAAUUUUCCAUUUUAAUAAUUACUUCUGAUACAUUUGAAUGAGGAACUUUAAAAUGAUAUAUGUAAAGCAAGAGGUAGGGCUGAACUUUCUACACAAUAGAAUUAGAAUAUUUUUUCACUUUUUUCGGCCUUUAAAAUUUUAUUUAUCCUUUCACCAACGAUUUUUUAUUUAUUAGAAAAUUUAAUAUCUCAGGUUGAUGUUCAUUUGAUUCCCCAAAAUAUCAAAUAGUACCACUUCCUAGAAGCAAAAGGAUAAAUUAUAAAAUAAAAUUAAAGAUGAUUGAUUGAAGUAUAAAUGAUAAGAUGUUAUAAUUAUUAUUUUCCUUUACAUUAUUAAUGUUCGUUACUACGUAAUCUUGUAUCUAAGAUAAUAUAGUGUUUUAGUUUUAAUGAUCGAUAGGCUUUAAGUAUUAUUUUAUAAAUCCCGUCAUAUUAAAUUUCCGCGCGAGGCGCGGGUAAUUUUACUAGUUAUAAAUAUAUGGAUAAAUUUUUAAAAAAAUAUUAUGAUAAGUGAGAUAUCAAUUGUUUAGUGCCAGCCUCUUUCGGAGCGGCUAGGAAAAAUAUGUCUUAGAGCCUUAAUAAUGACACUGAAGUGUAGCACUCACCAUGUUUUGUGCCUCACUUCAGGGCUUAAACACAUUUUUGACAACAUUGAUCAGGGGAGAGGGAGAGGGGGAGGUUACAACCAACUUGCCUAAUGUUAUGUUGAGGUGUAAAACAAUUGAGUUACUGUUGCGUAAGGUUUAGGGUAUAACCCAACCGACACAACUUAUUCCUAUUUCUUUUUCUUUCACUGAAUCUCUUUCAGAAAAGGUCCAACAUCCAUAGAAUAAGAGGCAAAUCAAAUUGAGUGUUCUUGCUGCAAUUCUUUGCAUUUUCCUUUUCAUUUUACUGUAGACAAGCUUGUGAGAUGGUGUGAUUGAUAAUCUAUUUGAGGAAGAAGCCUCGUAGGUAAUAUCUGUUGAAAAUGAUUCUGUGUUGAGUAAAAAUGUUUUUUGAUUUAUUUAUAAAGACUGAAAAAGGGUAAAAAAUGCCCUUAACCUAUGUUAACGACAACUAACACAUACUAGUGUAAUCCCAGAGGUUCGGUAAGGAUGGUAUGUACGCAUCCUUACCCCUACCUUAAUCUAAGUGAUAUGAACAAAAAUGCUCUUUGUUAAUAGUUUGGUCCAAAAAUGCCCACGUUGUUAAUAGUUUGACCCCAAAAAUGCCCCUAUUGUUACUUAAUUCAGCCAAAAAUGCUCUUUUCCUAAUAAAGAUAUUGUUUCUUUUCUUUUUAGCACAUUCUUUUUCCUGAUAAAAAUGAUGUUUUUAAAGAACAUUUUUCUUGUUUCGUUUCUUUGAAAAUUCCCCUUUUUAAUGAUAAUUUUUUUUUUAAAAAUAAAAUCCCUUUAACUAAUAAGAAAAAUAGAAUAGAUCUUUUCUUCUGAAUCUCGUUUUAUCAAUUACAACUAAAUAACCUCAUGCCUUUUUAAACUGAUAAUAUAUGUAUAUAUGUGUAUAUAUAUAUAAGAUCAAGUAACCCCACCAUUAAUUUUCAUAUAGGUAAUGAUAAUUUUUUUUCUUGAUAAAAUAUGAAUUUUUUUUAUUUCUUAAUCUUUUUCGAUUUGAAAUAAGAUAAGCAUUAGCCAAUAUAUUCCUUGAUUUUAAACUCAAAAUGAAUUAAAGGUCAACAAUAAUAACCCCAUCAUUGAUAUUUUAAAGAUAUUUUGUGAUUUGAAACAAUGUUAUAAUUUUCAUUUUUUUAUUUUUUGUUAUCAUUAUAUAAACGAAACUAAUGAUGGGUUAUUAUGAUCUUAUAUAUACGACCUAUAUUACAGGUUAAAAAAUAAAUGACAUUAUUUGAUUUUAAUUGAUAAAACGAGAUUGAAAUGAAAAGUAGUUACUUGCCGCUUUUUACUAGUAAAGGGAUUUUAAAAUUAAGAAACAAGAAAUGGGUCCUUCAAAAACAUUAUUUUUAUUUGGAAAAAUGUGUUUAAAAUGAUAAGAUACAAUAUGUUUUAUCACAAAAAUGACUUUUUUGACUCAAUUAAUUAACAAUAAGGGCAUUUUUGGCCAAACUAUUAACAGAGGCCAUUUUUUGUUCAAUUUCACAUAGUUUGGUAUUUUUGACUCUUUUCCGUAUAAAAAAAGGUUUUUUGAUUUAAUUUAACCUCCUUUUUUGGUUUUCAUUUUUUGCUUUAGAAUACCGACUAACUGAUUCCCCAUGAAAUGGUACUCUCUCUGUCCCUAAUUACUUGUCCACUUUUGAAUUGACACACAUAUUAAGAAAGCAAUGAUUGACAUAGUAAGUUUACUAUUUUACUAUUAAUUAUGAAGGAGAUGAAUUAAAAACUUAAGAUUUUCAAAAAGUUGUACCUUUUUCAAAAGAUAUAUUGAGCACCUUAUUUAACCUAAUAUUGAGCACCUUGUUGAUCAGACAAGUAGAAAUGAUACAAAGCAAGGGUCAUCAAAAGAAACAAUACAAAGCAAGAUUGAAUAAAUGAACCUUCAUCCAAGUACGAACAAGAUUGAAAGAAUCAAAUCACUUUAACGAAAGCAUUAUGGUUCAUCACAAUCCUAGCUAGAACGUUUAGUUACAAAUCAUAUCCAAGAACAACGCAAAACAUAUGUAGAUGAAAACUAUCCAUCAAAAUAUUCUUCGUAUCGAAGAAAAAGCCCAAGAGUUAUUCUCCAUAAAAAUGCUUAGAUCUUAAGAAUCAAAAGAUGACUAUUUAAGGCUUGCUGUUAGAGAGUUGAGGUCACAAUGGCCCUGAUAAAAAAGAAAAAAAAAGGAAACGAGAGCUGCAGUCACAAUUUCCAUCUCAGUUUGAAUGCUAGCUCGAAUCAAUUUCAGCACUUCAAUUUGGCAGUCCUCAGUCGGUAAUUAAGGUGCUGCAGUCGAUGCACUACUUGGAACUCUUGUCUGCGGUUGCAGGCUCAGUGGGACAUCCCUUUUUCUCACUCUGUUCUCAUUGUCUAAUGUUUCCUUUUUGCUUUCUCAUUACCACUUUUUAUCUAUCCUUCUUCCCAUGCAUAAAAAACACAACCAUGAGAUUCAUCCUCAAAUUGAUUAAAAAUCACUUAACAAUAAGCGCAAAAUUGUUCCUUGAUAGGGGAAUUGCCAGACAUUAUGCAAAAUAUCACAUUUAUCCGGUGGUUCAUGCAGUUCAACACUAUCUGUUUGUCAUUUUGACUAAUUUAUGAAGUACAUCAUGCAUGACUUAAUUUGUAUUUUUAAAAUAUAAAUCUACAUGCAUAUAAAAGAUAUCACCAGCCAAAAGGGUUUCGUUUCCAUUUUGUAGCGUAAAUCGUAAUGGUAAAAUCAUAUUACAUAUAGCUUCUUAGCUUGUUUUUCAACACAAGUAAGUGAACUUUGUAGUGAUGUUGCUACUUUUAGAUAAAGAAAAAAUAGAAAGAGAUUGGUCUAAAAAGGAAAAAGGCUUCAGUUUUUAUUUAAUGAACAUGCUUAUGCGAAGUCUAAUGGUUGGGCACAAGCAUGUUGUCAGAUGGAUUACAAGGAUGUAACCUGUUGGAUGUACGACUGAAUACAAGAUUGGGUGUACAAACUAUCAAGACUAGUUUUCCGCUCUCAUCUCUGAUUUUCUCACUCUUUCAACACAUCACGCAUGGUGUUGCUUUAGUUGAUUAGAAUAAAAGGGUCAAAACUGAAACAGUUAUUCUUCCUGCGCAUCUCCUUAAAUGAUGCAUUAUCUGUUGUUUUUUACACAGUAUCAGUUUCAGUGCAUUAGCAGCAAAAUUUACCCUUUCUGGAUGAUGUGUAUUUUGUUUUUUCCUUUAUCAUCUUGGUGUUUCCUCUUUGGCAGUCACUUCUAGCAGCUUUGGGAUCUAUACAAUUUGUCUCGAACAUAGCUUUUGCCUACUUUGUUUUGAACAAAACAGUGACAAUCAAGUAAGAUAACAUUUAAAUUUCUUCUAUUAAAAUCAAUAAGGACCUGAGUAUAGACUACCAGCAAUUCAUAGAAUUGAUUGCUGAUGUAUGGUACUUAUUAUCCUCAUUAUACAAGUUACAGUCUGAUAAAUAUCUUUCGUAUUGCAGUGUACUGGUAGCCACUGCCUUUAUUGUUCUUGGAAACAUCUUCCUUGUAGCCUUUGGCAACCACCAGUCACCUGGUAUGUGAUGGAAGGUGAAAAGCUUGUUGUUUUAGUUGCUUGUAUUUGUACAGAAUAUUGGGUUUCUUCCAUAGAGUAUCAUAUUUUGUAUACCUAAAAAAAAGAGUACCAUAUUUUGUACAUUCAAUCAAUUUUUGGAUACUACGUGUAUACAGGAGUUGUUCCAAUAUAAAUAAAAUUAUUUACCUUACAAAAGAAUAUCUCAUACCAUGAAAAUCUGUUAUAGGACUGACAUAUAGUCGACUCCCUACUUGAUACUUCUAAGUUGAUCCCGUACUAUGACAGUGCCUUGUAUAUAUCUUGGGCGAAAUGGUCUGAUGGAUCCUUAUACUUGUAUCAGUUUGUAUUCAAGACCCUUUUACUUAACCAUUUGUCAAUUGAACCCUUAGACUCAAUUAAAAUGAUACUUUUAAGCCCCUCCACCCAUGUGUGUAGCUCACUCUCCUUUACAUAAAUGACAUGUCAUAUCCACGUCAUAUAUAUUAGUGCCAUGUCAUAAAUUUCAUAACUUUUUUUUAAAAUUAUUAACCAAAAUUAUUUAAUAAAAGGUAAAAUAAUAAAAUUUUAAUUUAUUCUUAUAGUAAACCUUCAUACAUCUGAUUCUCCUCAUUUUCUCUGUUCACGGCCAACAUCUACUGGAGAAGCCAUCGCUGGCGUCGUCACCACUUUUGCCAGCGAAAUCACAUAUACUCUCUCCCUCACCUGUCUUCAUCUCCGCCGCACACCAUCACCAUUUCCUUUCCGCCUCCAACCAUCACUAGAUCUGGCCGAAAAACCUCUUCACCGCCAUGACCAUUGGGAUACAAAACUGUUCUCAAGACUAUUAGAAGCUCCAAAGCAAAACUUGGUAUCAUUGCCAACAACUGUCCUCCUAUCAGGAAGUCUGAGAUAGAGUACUAUGCUAUGUUGGCAACGGUUGGAGUACAGUAUUAUUGACCCAGGUGAUUCUGACAUUAUUAAAAGUUUGCCUGCUGACCAGUGAAGAGGCAUUUGAUUUGAUGCUGUUUUGGAUCCUAUUCGGAAGUUGCCCGAUUGUUAUUAAGAAAAGUAGCUAUGAUUGAUGAGUUUGGCAACUUUAUUUAUCACUUGUUGGAAGAAAGUUUUGAUGAUGUUUAAUCUGAUUUUAACAAUUUUCCAAUUUUCUUGAGUUAUUGUUCAAUCUACUAUGUAGACUUUGAUCUGUUAAAAAAAUAAAUAAAAUUUAACCCAAAAAUUUGCUUUUCCACCUUGCUUGGAAGACAUGGUUGAUUUUCUAGGGUUAAGAGUUUGGAUCUGUUGAUGAAAACUCUCUCCUAACCCAAAUAGUUACGUUUUUGCUAACUUUUGGGAUGUUUCUAUGUUCACUGAAUGAAUCAGGAUGGGGCACUUGGUCCUUUCCAAUAUAUACGGACAUGUAUUGUGGUGCCUUUGCCUAUCAAUAAUUCAUAUUGGCGUUAAAAAAAAAAAGUUAUUCACUCGCCUAAAGGAGCGUGAAGUUGCACACUUUUGCCAACUCAGACAUUUUAAUGCCACAUAAGUGUGGUCAAUGGUCAGAGGGAUUUGUUAAAUUGUGUUUUAUUGAGUCUAAGGGUUCAGUUGACAAAUGAUUAAGUAAAAGGGUCCAGAAUACAAAUUGAUACAAGUACAAGGGUCCAUCAUACCAUUUCGCCUAUAUCUUGCUACCAACACUUUCGAUCUUAUUUUUUGUAAAAAAACCAGGAACCCAUGUUAUUUGCUUAUGAGACUGUUCAGACCAUUUUAGCAUAUACACUCAAGUAAAGUGAAAUUUAUGCUAGAUGAUGGUGGACCUUAUAAAGGUUGUUGAUUUAUGCUAAAACAACUUUGUUACUCUUGUGUUUUGAAGCCUGUUUUGAACAACAUUUUUAUUGAGCCAAGGGUCUAUCGGAAACACCCUCUCUACACCACAAAGGUAGGGGUAAGGUUUGCAUACACCCCACACUCCCUAGACCCCACUUGUAGGAUUACACUGGGUAGUUGUCUUAUCAAUAACCUGUAAGACCUAAAGUGGCUGAAUUGAGAAGGGGAAAAAGGCCUAUGAAAGUUGCAGGAAAAGGAUUGUACAUAGUAUAUUCAGCAGAUGUAGGCUGCAUAUUAUGUUUAUAAGUUGCCAUAAGGUUAAACUAUUUACCUUAUCAAAAAAAAUAAGUCGCCAAUAAGGUUGCAUUCUACUAGACAUUGCUUGAGCAUUUGAUCUUUUUCUGAUUGUGUUGUACCCUGAUGUAUCUUUUCGCUGCUCGGUGAUCUUCAUACUUGAAUCAGUUCUGGGUACUUGAGUCCUUGUGCAUGCUGCCAGCUUAAGUUGAAAAUUUACCCACAUUUCAUGUGACAUCAGUAACAAGCCUUAUUACCCCAUAAUUCUAUUGUUGUUCUUUAUUUCCUUUUUUUUUUCUUGCUAAGAAAUUGGAAUUUCGGGUAUUACUCUUAGAGCAUGAGGCAAAUUGUUCAAACCAUUCAGAGAGCCAAUUCCUUACUUAAAAAUGGGGAUACUAAGAUAAUAUAUUUUCCAACAAAGAGAAAUGUGUCAUUCUUUUUGGUACAUACUAACUAUGCAUUUAGACAAUCAUAUGCUCUGCUUUAUAGUAAUGUAUGAUUGUAUAUGCUUUCAUGUUUACCUUAUCGAACCAAAUAAAGUAGAAAAGAAGAAAAGAUUGUUACUUGCUUCCAACAGAUUAUAUUUUAUUAUCAUCCUUUCUUUGUAGUUUACACGCCGGAGCAGUUGGCUGAGAAGUACAGCAACAUUACGUUUCUUCUAUACUGUCUCACUUUGGUCUUAGUUGUUGCUUUACAUCAUUCAAUAUACAAGUAAGUCACAAUGGCACAGUCAAUAAUCUCUGUACCUUUUUUUGGUGUCAAGUAAUAGUAUUCGAUGUUGUUCGAGUUCUUCAAAAAUACCAUUGGGUGUGUGUCGGAUCCUUCAAAAACUAUGCAUUUUUGGAUGAUAUGACAUGGGUGCGGCAACAUUUUUGGAGGGUCUGAGCAACAUAGAUAGCAUUCUUUAUAAAUAACAUGUCAAAUACUUCAAAAAAAGAAAAAAAAAUAACAUGUCAAAUACCGUGACUUAUAAAAACUUAGCCUGCUAGAAGUAAUGAAUUUGGGAUAUAUACCUUCAAAGUAAAUUUCGAAAAUUUAACAUCUUUAACCUACUUAUUGACCAAAUGAGUUAUUGAUGGCUAUAACCAGGUGAAAAUAAAAACUCUUGCUAUAAACUGUGGCGCUUGCUCCUUGUGAUGUCUUUCCUGCCUUCAUCUCCAGUUAUGGACUUCAACUUCUCUUUGUUCUCCACGCAUGCUUAUACAUGCCACAACUAAAGUGACUAUGCUAAGAAUUGCUGUGUGUCCCUUUUGAUUCUUCAUGGCUAUGAUUAUAGUCAAAUAUCAACUUAAGUGGGACUAGUUCUACUUUUGUAAGUCAGGUUCACUAAAUAUUGUCAGAAUAGGAAUACGUAUAUACAAUCCUACUUAGAAUAGGAACAGUAAUCCUAGUUAGAAAAGGAGUCUAACAUAGUGUGUAUAAGUAGGGUUUCAAUGUAACAAUGUAGAUACACAAUUGAAUAGUAUUCUUCUCCUAUAUUUCUCAGAUGCAAACUUCACUUAACACCCAUGAGGUCGUGUGUUUGAAACUUGCCAGCCCUUGUUUUAUCCAUUUUUAAAGCUUCUUUUAGCUAAAAAGGGGAAAACCCAAGGAAAAGCUGGAUACAAAAUUCGAACCCACUUCCUUUAGGUGGAGAAAAGAAGCUUUGCGGCAAUUUCAACCAGUGCACCGAACUCUUCUCUGUGUCUUAGGGUGCCUACUAAAAUAUAUUUUCAUAUCUCAAGGUAUAUAUAUACAUAUAUAUACAUAACUUUCUUUCUCAAGAAAAAUAUAUACAUAACUUUUCCGAAGUUAACAGGUGCACGUACACUCCACCCUUCCACGUGGGUUCACCUCUAUAUACUGGUAAAUUUAGAAGUGGAUGCUAAGGAGCUGUUUGGUUAUAAGUUUUACUCUCCCUUCUUUUUAGGUUCUUCCUGGUUUUGGAAGUACAAUGUUCUCAACAAUCGGAAUUAUUUCCUGAUUUUUUUGGAUUGAUCCAAAUUUCCAAUCAACAUAGGACUGUUUUAAUGAAUAAGAGAAUGCUAGAUUUGCGCACAAUCUAGAAUCAGAUUUUGUAACCAGUAAAAGCCUAUAGAGAUAUCACUUGGCCAGCCUUAUCAAAGGUAAAAAAGGAGAUUGCCACUAGGGUUUAGUAGUUGAAGAAAUGUCGUGUUCGUAGAAAGAAGAGAAGGUUGACAUAUACCGGACGAGAACUCUAGCUUUACUUGUUCCCAGAAAUGUCUCUGUGUCAUUUGAGUGGAGUGGGAUCAUAUUGCUUUUCCUAGAAACAUGUAAGGUCGAGUGAUUCAAUAUAAGCUAAAAUGGGGUAGUGUCACAACCUAAAGUAUACCCUAGGCGUAACAUGGCGUAUAGAACCCCGAGAGGCCCUAGACAAGCCACUUAACAUACAUCAUUACAUUGUACAAGAUAAUAGAAUUAAAGACUUAGAUAGCAUUUCAUACAUCAAUAGAGUUUGACAAAAAGCGGAAGUUUAAUCAUAAGUCUCAAAGCCAUCUAAUACAUCAUAAGGAAAGUGAUUGGGACGUAACCCAUACAUCACAUACAAAGUCGAAAACAAAAAUGACAUAAAACAAUAAAGAAUCUCAGUCCUCGAAACAUGAGGACUCACCAGUCUUCGAAGCCUCUGAAGGAUCAACUAGCCACGAGUAUGAGAGGUAGGAGCGUUAGACCCUUCAUUAGUGAAACAAUGUAGGCACACGUAUGCAUUAGCACAUGGAAUGUACCAAGUAUGAGGCAAUAUGCAUAAACAUGAACAUGAUAAUAUACAUGACUUAAAAUGAAUAACGAAACAAUUAAAAGCUUAUAGAGAAGAAAUGACAUGAAGAUCAUAAAACAUAGUCAAAUACAUUAACAUAAAGGACAUAAGAAAAGCUUGAAGAAAACAUAGUCAUUGUUUGGGAUAUUAGUUUUAACCGACAAUAAGACCAUGAGAGCUAUAUCAUGUAAUCUGGUAUAUUCCUCGUACCGAAAGAAGGGAAAACUACUUGCCAAGGUAGAAUCCGUACAUAAUCCACUCGCUAGGUCACUUAAGACAUCCUACGGGGCAUGUAGUUUGGGACUAGAGGUUGCUAGUAGAGACUACCCUAUUUGAGCCUCCACCUCGAAGCCCUCUUGGUGCUAAGUCUAAUUCCAACGGAAUGGAUAAAAGUCAAAAUACCAAUUUAACAUAGGGAAAUGCAAUGAUCACUACCAAUCCAUGUCUUUCAAGAUCAAAACAUAGAAUAACUCCUUAAACAUAAUUCAACAUGAAUGAGAAAACCUUUCAGCAAUGUGAAUUCAUUUGUGAGAAAUACCUUUCACAAUCAUGAUCAUCAUAGUAAGUGAGAAAUCCUUUCACAAUAGCAUCAAUACUUUCCUUUCAAAACAUCAUAAUUCAUUUACAAUAACUUCAUGAAAACAUGCAUAUCUUCAUAAAUUCAUAAUUCAUAGUUCAUGGAUUCAUCAUAGGAUCAUGGUUGAAAAACAUAAUUUAGGCAUGGGUAAUUGAAAUUUCAACUAAAUAUCAUAGAUUAACAUCAAGUAAUGCAUUAGAAGACUUCAUUAAUGAUAAUCAAUCAUAAUUGGAUGAAAUCCACAUUUAUUGAAUUGAAACCCUAACUUGAAUCAAUUGAAAUUGAAUUGGGGAAUUGAAAUCCUUGGGGACCCCAUGGAGGAAAGGACUCCAUGAGUGAAUACACACAUACCUUGAUCCUUUAGGCCCAAGAAAAAUGGAGAAUUGGUAGACUUGAAUGGAACCCUAGCUCUUUUCUUCUUCCUUAAACUUGAGAGAAUUGGGAGUAUGAAUUUGGUCAAGUUUAGGGAAUUUAGGAGAAUGAGUUGAAAUGGGUAAAUUGGGGGCUUAAAACGUUUAUAUAGAGCUCAAGGUAGAAGGAAAACGACAUAGUUUUAGGUUAAAACAAUUAGAAAAAGACCCAAAAAACCUUUAAAAAUAACUUUCGAGCCUCUCCUACGGUCCCUAGGUCCUUCUACGGACUGUACUGGUCACCGUAGAUAGGUUCAAAAGCUAUUAUUUAGAAACUAUUAUUUAGACCAACUUUUGACGGAACCCAUGUAAGACUUGUAGGUCUUCUUAUGGUCUGUACAUGCCAUUCGUAGAAACCAACUUUACCCCUUAAAAUUUUACUAAGUCUGGGACUCACCUACGAGACCUACCUACGACUCAUACAAUGGUUAACAGACCGUCCUGGUGAACCAUAAAAAGGGGUACUGGGAUGUGAUUUUUUUUUGAAAUUUAUUUUCCACUUCCUACGUUGCCAUCUACGGACCGUAGAAGCAUCUACGGUCCGUAGAUGGGACCUGAAACCAGACUUCAGUUCAGAAAUUUAAUUUUAUCCUUUUUCCAAGUUCCAAGGUAUUACAGGUAGUUUGGUGGUGAAUUUGGAUGGAGUCCCAUUCCUUUAAAAAAUGGUGUGGUCAGGUCAGGUCAUAAAAUACAAGAUGUGUAUUGAUUAUUUACCUAAUAAAAAAAAGUAAAAAUAUAGGAUGACUUCCAGAGAGAAGCUCAUACUUUUCUCUAAAUUCUAGGAAGAUGGAGAACAUGUCUUUCAAGGAAGCUUUAGCUUGACCAACUUUGGAUUUAGGAGGAAGAUGUCAAAGGAAGGAGCCAUCGAGAGAGCCCAUCUUCUCUCUGUCGGAAGAACAUACUUUAAAGAGAAGGACUUUUGAAAUCCUAUUUGGCUGGGCUUUUUCUAAAUGGGUAGGUUCAUCGAAGGUCGUUUGAAACUGUAGUGGCUAUGUUGAAGAUUACGCAAAUGAACGACACCCAUUUCUUGUUUCGUUUUGUUAAUGAGGAGCAAGCACUGGAGAUUCUCAAUGGAGGAAAACGAUGGUUCAAUGAUAAUUUUCUGUUUUGGACCGGUGGACAGAGUAUGAGUGAUGUGUUGAUCCACACUUUCCCUAAUUUGCUGAAUUACUGCCUCCCUUUGACAAGGUAACCUGUAAAUGCUUGGAAACUCACAUGUUACCCCAAAAGCUCUCUCUACUCCCAUCCCCUAUCCUAAAAGAUAUAUCAUAAAAAAAAAUCUACCCAACCCUUGAUGAUAUUCCUCCACACUCCACAUCCAAAUGGUAAUGUUAGAUGAUUGGUGUCAUUGUAGGGAUUAUAUCUUUUUGUAAGGUUUUUGCUUUUUGGUAUAAUUUUUGUAAAUGAGUGGGUCUUGCCGUUCAUUGGUGGAAUUUAUUACGCUCUCUGUGCCACAGUUCCACUUUAUGUGUCCUAGUUACUAAUUGAAGUGUCAAAGGAUACUUUCCUUGACCAUAAUUUUUUUAAAUUCUUUUAAAAUAUUUUGAAUUGUUUACUAUUGUGACCUAUAAUACUUUCUAUAUAGUUUCUAAAUAUGUAAAUUUAUUUCAAAAUAAAUUUAAAUUGGAUAUCCUUCUAAACAUUGCAGCAGUAGAAAGCACAAUGCUAAGUUUGAAAAACAACAAAUCAUUAAUUUGUCAUAUUUUCUAUAGAUCUGUAUUGGAGAAAGAGGAUGCUUAUCUCGGUAGUUCUUGCAUAUCUAAUGUCAAUCAUGCAGGAGAGGAGAACUGAUGCUUGCUGUCCCUAUGAAUGAAAGUAAGCCAUAUUGGCACAUGCUGCUUCCAUUUUCGUAUGCAGUUGUUUCAGGUGCUGUUGGAUCAUGUUCGGUAUUGUUUGCGAAGUCUCUGUAAGUGGAAUAUAUGGUUCUUUGCCUUCUAUGGAAGAACUGAAUAUUAUACAUUUGACGCUGAUUACUUCUAUUUGUAGUUCAAACAUGUUAAGAUUGUCCAUGUCAAGUGGUUAUUCAUUGCACAGCUGGUUCACGUAUUCCAUGCUCCUGCUGUUUCUUAGUACAGCUGGAUUUUGGGUAAUAGUGAUGGACUCGUUCAUUGCGUUAUCGUUCAAUUGUUGUAAAUAUAGAAUACUUGAAACAUGUGUAAUUCAACUGACUCUGUUCUUGAAUUUAUCAUCUUCGCAGAUGGCAAGGUUAAAUGAAGGACUUUCGUUCUUUGAUGCAAUACUUAUUGUCCCUAUGUUUCAAAUCACUUGGACGUUUUUCUCCAUUUGUACAGGAUUUGUGUACUUUCAGGAAUACCAGGUUUGCUCGUUCUCCGUGUCUACGGCAGGGCAUGUUCUCCUCACCCUUUCCUUUUCUAAAAUGGAUGUAAAGAAUUAGAAAUGAAUGUGUGUUGGGCAUAAAUUGCUUGAUUAUUUCCUCAAACAUGUUUGGGUUUAAAAUAGCGUUUACAAGUAUUCCUAAAGAGGAAAGGGAAAUAAUUCCUAAUUUUAGUUGCACAAAUAUAGGGAUUCUAAACCUUUCCCAUAUUUACAAAGAGUAAUCACUUCUCAUACUACUAAUUUUCAAGUUCUAACAGCCUUUCUCAAGUGGGAAUGUACAUAUUAUUUGCUCUCAACAUGCCACUAAUACAGAUUCAACACUGGAGUUACAGUGACUUUAUGAGAAUGCCUUCUAAUUGAUCACUGGGGUUGAUAAAACCUGUCGCAAUGCACCUUGACUAAAUUUUUUGUUGAAUGAAUGACAAUUUACUUCUAUAUGCUUUGUUCUCUCGUGAAAUACUGGGUUAAAGCAAUGUAUAUUGCAGCUUGAUUGUCACAGAUCAAUUGCAUUGGUGCACCUCCUGUACCUCUCAACUCUUCAAGAUCUUUCUUUAGGAUAUAAGCUUACAUGUGGCCAAAGCCAUUACUCGAUAUUCCACUGUGGUUCUUGAUCUAGUUGCUACAUCUUGCUUUUUGCUUUUCCAAAUUAAUAGAUUUCCUCCUGUAACAAGAACUUAGUUCUAAUUACAGAACUAUUAGGAUUCCAAACCUUACCAUAUUUACAAGGAGCGUGCUCUUGCUAUAUUGACAAUCUAACAAUAAAGUUGGGAGAAAGAUCUAUGGUCUCCAUUUUGGUAGUCUAGUUGAUUGCUGUAUCUAGGAUGACAAUUGUUUCAACUUUGAUUUUCAAGUGAGUUUGCAGACUAAAAACCUAAAAUUGUAAAUUUACACAGGUCUUUGAUGCAUUAAGAACGACAAUGUUUAUUCUUGGAAUGAUUUCUGUAUUUGUGGGCAUUUCUUUGCUUGCCCCAGAUGAAUCAAAAGGUAUUGUCAUUUUAAAUCACAGGUUCUUGAUAAUAAAAUGUGCCUAGGGCAUGAAAGACUUAAAAGUAAUAUCUGCAGGAGGUGAAGUGAAGGAUGGUUCUUUAGUUUCAACAACUUCAAAUUUGUCACAGGAUGAGGAGAGGUAUGUGGUCUCCACCUCUUAUUAUGUAGACAUUGAUUAUUGGAGAUUGAGUAGUAAAUUCUUGCUUUUAUCUCGUCAUUAAUUCCUCAUGGUUAAAAUUGCUUAGCAGAAUGACCUGUUAUUCCCUGAUUCCUGCCUUUUUAUUGGUAUUUAUGCACAUGUCAGGCUGUUAAUGCCAUCUGAAGACUCCCAAAUUAAGGAUAUAAGAUCAUUUGGACGAGUUAUGCUGAUGAAAGCUGCUAAUAUGAUUGUAAAGGCAAAGGUUCUGAUGGUUGUCCGUAUUUACUAUUCCAUGAAGGAUAUUUCAUGCUUACAUAUCUAAAGAAUAUACUUUCACACAGGCUGCAUGUUCAGUAUCACUAGGCUUUGGAGAAGACUCACUUCAUGCAUCAUCAGUGCUGGUGAUGCCCAUGGUUUCAUCGAAAAUAACAGGCUUCCGAGGAGGUGGCCUUGAUCGGGCAAAAAUAUUAUCUGUUCGAGGACCAGGUUGGAACAAAUUCGCAGUUGAUAAAGAUAGUGAGACAAUCCUGGAGACAACUGCGAUGUUGCCCCAAGGUAUCAACUUGGACUAGGAGAGCGUUGCAUUGGUUUGUGGAGAUGGACAUGCCAAUGGUGUUUAUUUCUUCUUCCUUAUGGAGAAAAUUGUGUCUCUACUUCCCAUUUACUAAUUGUACACUUUAUUAUUCCACUCGUAGUCUGUCAGAAGGCAGCAGAUGCUGGGACGGGGAGGGGAAUAGCAUAUGUUUGAAGAGGUAGGUCUAGCUAGCAUGAUUUGUAAGGGGAAUAUACUACGUUGAUGAGAACACUUUGAUAGAAUGCUCAUUUAUCUCUUUGAGGCAUAAUCUUAUAAAUUGUUUUUGUAGUUUACGAGAAUACUAGGUUUGACUGUAAGGCAAGACAUUCUGCAUUAGCUGCUGGCUGUUGAUAGUUUGAGCUCGCGUGAUUGUUUUACUAGUGUAAUUAAUGUUCUGGUUUCCUCUGUCUGGUGACUGGCGCAUAUGAUUCUGGCUGCAACCUAAUCAACUACAUAGCCUUAAACAGAUAAUUAAAUGGUCUUUUAGAAUCAUGUACUCUAGAUAUACUAGCAGAGUCCAGAAUUUCGAUAAAUGGCAGUACAGUAUUUAAGCAGGAAGGAAUGGGGUGGGACAAUUAAUAACGAUGUGAAACUUGGAUGGCCCAUAGAGAGUUACGUAGUAACAAGGCAAACACUAAACAGCUUAACUGGAAUUAUUUGCAAUCAUUUCUGUAAGUUAGACGUGAGUUUGGUAAUUUAGUAGGCAUGUUCUACAUUUAUAUGAAGUAUAAAAAAUAUUUUACUCUCCAUAAAAUAGCUCUAAAAAAUUAUUCAAAUCAACUUCUCAGCAAUUAGAGUACACUUUUUUCUAACCAUUUUUUAAGUUUGAGUUUAUUUUAGAGAUAAGUGACAGAAAUACACCUGAAUUAUCCUUUUUUUUGAGUUUCAUACCUAAACUAAACACACCUCAGCGGUGUAUGUAAUGCACUCUCUUUUAUUUGAAAAAACAUUGACACAUAAUAUUUCACAUGGAUUAAAUAUUUCACCUUGAUAAAAAUUAAAUAAUAAACUAUUAAUAUUAAUUAAAAAUUAAAAAUUUAAGUAUCACUAUCCCGAAAAUUAAUACUUUUUUAAAAAAUAAAAUUUAAAUUAAUUUUCUUACCCUUUCCACCACAUCCACCCCCCCGGCCAACAAUCCUCUAUCCUUUUAUUUUUUUUAAAUUUCUUUUAUAAAAAUUCAUACUUCACCCCACAACCACCCACCCACUCAUUCCCCCCAAAAAAUUGAUAUUAUUUUAUUUUUUAAAAAAUAAAAAUUCUACCACAUCCUAUUUAACUCUCUGUUCCUAAUUAUUUUUAUUUAUUUUUUACAUUUUUUUCAUUUUGUGUUAGAUAUGUACAUAUAUUUUUAGGAAUAUUUUUUCUACUUGUGUACCGAAUAUAACAUAAAUAAUUUUUUUUUUAAAAAGUCGUGUGGCGGCAAGUAAAAAGUAUUUUCGAUACAUAAUAUCUAACACAAAACGAGAAAAAGAUUGAAAGCAGAAGGUUAGGUGGAGUGGGUAAUUUUUUUUUUUUUUUUAAAUAUAAUAAUAUCUAAAUUAGUAUUUGAAGAUGGGGAAGUAAACAAAAUUAAAUACUUUUAUAAAAUAAAUUCAAACAAAAAAAUGGGGGGAGUGAGAGUGUACAGUGAGAGGAAGUGAUGAAAUGGGGUAAGAAAAAUAUUUUACAUUUUAUUUUAUAGAAAAAAGUAUUUUUUUGGGAUAAUAAUUUUUAAUCUUUGAUUUUAACUAACACAUAAUUUAUUAGUUUUUGUCAAGGUGGAAUAUUUUGUCUAUGUGGAGUGUAAUGUGAUAAUUUUUUUAAAUUAAAGAGAGUAUAUUACACAAUACACACUUUGGUAAGAGUGUUAUAAAAGAGAGAAAUGUGUUUCUCAAACUAAUAAGUGAUAGUUUAUGUAUGAAACACACUAUCUCAAUAGUUUAGGUAUAAAACUUAAAAAAAUGAAAUAAUUUAGGUGUGUUUUUAACCUUUAUAUUUUUGUUUUAUUAGUAUAGUCCUACUUUUUAAUAUUUAAUCAUUAGUGGUUGGUGCAAAAUGCAUUAGUGUCAUCCUCGGUACCAAUUUCAAUUGUGCCAAAAGUUCUGCAACAUAAGCACAUGAUAGAUUAUAAAAUUUUAAACUGCCCUACCCCAAACAAAAAAAAGAAGCUAAAUGCAUAUCAAUUGUGCUAGACGGUAAAAAUAAACCGGACAAAAGUAUUCUCUCCCAUCCAUAUACCCUCCUUAAAAAGGAGAUCCUCCAAUUCACAUUUAGACUUUAAAUAAGAAAGUCUUCCAACAACCAAAAAGGCGACUUUGGAAAGUAAGAUUUGUUAGAAUAAUCAUUAUCCUCCAUUUUAUUUCUCUUUGGAUGAUUCUUUUACCCUUCUAACCAAUUGUCAUAAAUGGGCCAUCAGUGCCUCGUUGAUAUGUUGUGUAUUACAAGACUGAUUUCUAUAUUACAAAAUUGGGGAUACUGUACAAUGUACAUUGGUACAAAAAAUGCACAAAUUCUCCAAGAAGUUGAGACUCCUGGAGAAGAAUGAUUCUGCAUUCCAGGACAAAACUCAACUUAUAUAGAAUGAAGAUGCCGCAGUUCCAAUAUUAUUGAACCUAUGGCAGCAAUUGCUCAAAUUUCAAGUAAAAUUUGGAGAAUUGCGAUGCCCAUCAGCAAAUUCUCUCACUAAACGCUUCAGAAUUCUCCCCCCUUUACCUUGCAUAUGCCCAUAAUCACUUGUUCCUCCAACGUUUCGCCUGCUCUCAAUAUAAUCUGAAGCAGCAGCAGCAAGUGCUUUAAUCCAGAGAGGGACCAAAGACUCUACUUCGCCAUGCUUUAGGUACUCAGCUGGUAAAUUGUGUACCUGGAAAACGAUUAUUGGUCACACAAAAGAGUGUUUUGAUACAACUCUCCCCACAAAAACAUUGUCUCAAUGCAAUUCUCUCAACUUAUCAUAGUAGCUGGAAAAACAUUUUUUCUUAUAGAAGUAACAAAUGAUGACCAUUUCAUAAGGCUCAUAUAAGUGCUGCUUUCCUUCUAGGAAGUUUGCUGUGCAUGAGCAGCAGGAUCAGUUUUGAUAAAAUAAAUGAGAAAGGCACUUAGGAGAGAGAUAGAUAAAUAGUGAUAGAGAGAGAGGACUGACUGCAGAAUGGAGCCAUCCAUGUAAGGAAUCCCAACAAAGAUGAGCCUUCCAGGUGGUUCUUUCACUUAAAUUGCACAUAGCAGCCAAUUGCUGCAAAAGUGUUGCAGACUUGUGAACCUGUUAAGGGAACAGUGUUAGCGAAAACGACAACAUUGUCAAAAAGACCAUAAAGAUUGAAAUCAUCCAACUGUAGUGUUCAAAGACUCCUGCUUUUGUUCCAAAUGGCUUAAGGAUGCUCCACAAAUAAUAGCGAGCCACUUGAUCCUCACGAUAAUAUUUCCUAGUAAAAAAGGAUCCCAUUCUGGCAAAAUUGGUUCUACACGAUCUUGCAUAUAUGACAUUUGAAUUGUAAUUCAAAGAUAAGACUCUAGCAACCUACGGCAUACUUGCAAAAUAAAUGCUUUUGAUACAAAGCAACCUGCACCAAACUUGAUUGCUACCAGUUCUUUCUAUAGUAUCUCGAGGAAUAAACAUGAGCUGGUUCAAUUUACCCUUGACAUUGCAGAAACACCAAGUAAAGCAUACAUUAGGUUUGACACUAGGCCAUCGCCGCUGUGAGAUAUGACUUGUAUUGCCAUAGCAUCAAUUGAACUAUCAGAAAUACCAACUAUGCCUUCCAGUUCAGAACCAUGCGUAAGGGAUUCAACCAAAGCAUUUAAGCCAGUCUCUAGGAAACCUGAAGCACAAUAUCAAGUUAAGAGUUUCUCAUUUAGACUAGAAUAACAAAUCAUUAGAUGUAUAGAACCGCAUUUUUACUAAAGGUCAGAAUCAGAAGAAAAUUUCGAUGUGAUGAAUAGGCUAUACUCAACAGACAUAACAAAUCAUGUAAAAAAAUGUGAAAAUUCAUUAUGGUGCACUAUCUAAUGGACUUCACAAGAUUUAGAUUAUGGAUAAGGAUCUGAUCAAGAUAUUUUCAUGUUUCACUAUGACUUGUGGUUCUCAUUAAUAGCAGAUCGUAUUGGAAAUAUUUAAUGUAGCAAGUUUCGACAUUUAACAUAUUGCUGGAUAGGGUAGCAGAGAUGGUUCAGUGACGACAGCCUAAGCAUUUUGUUCCAACCACCUUCAGCAGCUCAAGUAAGAUGGACACGACAAUUCAUCAAGUUCACAAGUUUCAAGAUAGAGAAACCUUGUGGAAUUUGACAUUCAGAAGAAAUCUACAAGAUUAGGAGAUAAGAGGAAUUCUAGAACCUUAUAGAAUUAUUAUUUUAUAACAAGAAUGUCAUAUUGUCCAAAGGGAUAGUUGGAAAUGCAAAGAGAUGAAAAUAAAUUUAUUUCAACAAAAUUCUUCUUACACAGGCGACUAAAUAUGUGAGGACACUAGUUACCCACACCUACCAGUUUGGAUUCUCAGAACGUCGAAAAAAAACAUGUUUUCUCACAUGCUUUGCAGCAAUGGGUCUAUUCUAAUAGCAGGAACAUUUUAAAAAAAGAUUAACAAACAUGGGUCAAUAUGGGUCAAACAGAGGAUUCAACAUCAAGUUCUAGACUUGACAGGUUUUUGUUAUCCACUGCAUGGGAAGAGACGGUUCCAAGUAAACCCCUUUGCCUAGAUUGAUUGUGGACCAUUUUCCAAUUUUGUUGGAUGAAGCAGAGGAAGACACACAAAUUCCCCCUACAGGUCCGAGAACAUGUGUUUAAGUGACAAACUUUGGAGAUAGAUGAUGGGAUGGUGGAAUGGUCAUCCGGUUACUGACAAGUCAAAAUGCCAAGAAAUUGAAAUUGUUGCAAGGGGAGAUAAGUGUGUGGAAUAAGGAGGUGUUUAGGAGGGUUGAGGUGAAAAUGAAGGGGAUUCUGAUAAAUUAGGGAAGCCAAUGAUGGUUGGAGGGCAGAAGGACUUGGGAGGUAAGAGAGGAAGACAGAAAAAAGGAAUUGAAGAGGGUGUUAGCUAGUUUGGCCACUCUAAGAAACUAGUUGGAAAAAAAAUUGAGGGCAUUAAAUUUGGGAAAAUUAUCAAACUAGUCAAAAUUAGCAACUUAUUUAUGGAAAAUAGCUGUAGUUUCAAAAUAUUAUAAAAAAGAGCAAUAUGUUCUUUUUACAAAAAACACUUCCCCUCUCUCUCUUGCCCUCUCCUCUUUCUCUCUCUCUCCCUUGCCCUCUCCUCUCUCUCACCCCUCUCUCUCUCUCUGUUUUUCUCUUUCCUACCAAUAAGAAGAAAUACAUUUAAAUUUAUUAUGUAUCAAUUGUAUUCAAUCAAAUAUAGGUGAGAGUUCUGUAUUUUAUUUCAAUUGUAUUCAAAAAAAUGUAUUUUGUAUUUUUUGAAUCAAUUAUAUUUGUAUUCAUACGAAUACAACAUGCAUUUAUAUCCUCUCUGUCAAAUGUAUUUGUACCCAAUCAAAGAGAGGAUGAAUAAAGUUGUAUUCGUUGUAUUUUGAAUACAAUUGACAAGAUACAAUUGAUACAAAAUAAAUACAGAAUACAAUGCAAAAAAAAUACAAAAUACAAUCAUCUCUCCUCCCUCUCUUGAUCUCGCUCGCCUCUCUCCUCUUAAUAUGUAUUCAUUUUGAUAUAAAUCAAUUCGUAUUUGUAUUCUUUUUCUCCAAAAUCAGCGAAAAAAUACACUCUCUCCUCGAUAUCGCCUGCCUCUCUCCUUCCCCCUCCCCUAACAUUUUGCUAUUAUCCAUUAUUAAGCAAACUAUAUCUAUAGAGUCCUAUUUAAGGCCUAAUGUUUGCAAGUUUCCCAUUAAAUUAUGGUUGGAGUAGGGGAACUCUAAUACUAAUUUCUUUCAGGAUAGAGGUGAAAAAUAGGAGAAAUUUUACAGAGAUGAUAGAGGUAGAUUGGGUGGUGUGUACAUGAGAGACUGUAUAAUAAGCUAUAGUGGGGUUCUACCAAGUUUAUUUAUGGAAGAGGUAGAUUGGAGAAAAAAGUCAUGAGGGAUGCAAUUUAAGCAAAUUUGGGAUAAGAAGAGGGAGUGGAUGGAGAGGGCAAUUGGGAGGAGGAGGUGUGGGAGGUAGUAGAGAGUUACACAGGCUCGGAUCCUAUUUUUAUGAUAUUUGACCGGACACAAAACUUAAGUAGUUAGUGUGCCUUGUGGAUCAUAUACGUGGUAAUGGAAAAAACAAUAAAUAAUGGACAAGAAGUUGGCGAUUAAAAAAUAUCCAAUAAAAUUAAAAUUUGAAGAGAAUAGCAGUCAUGGAGUGGCUAACUGUGUUAUCUAACGUUAUUUUUAGGAUGUCAAAAAUGGCUGAAGAAUGGAGGUGGAGUACAAGUAUACCAUAGUACAAGAACAAGGGUGAUAUUUAGAAUUACAACAACUAUCAGAUAAGAGUAUCAAGUUGCUAAGUCACACUAGGAAAGUUUGGGAAAAAGUGAUGUAAUGGUGAGGAAAUAUGUGUUAUUGCCAAGAACUAAUAGGGUUGCACCAGUUAUCAACCCUUAGCCAAUUUUUAUUUGCCUUGAUGAUAGAUGAACUGAUGCGGCACAUCCAAGCGGAGGUGCCAUGGUGUAUGUUAUUUGCAAAUGACAUCGUAUUAAUUGACGAGAUACAUGACGGAGUUAAUGCUAGGCUGGAGGUUUGGAGACAGACCUUGAAGUCUAUAAAGGUUCAGGUUGAGCAGGACUAAGACAAUACUUGGAGUCAAGUUCAACACUUCUUUAUGCAUGCAGGUAUGUGCAACACUUCAGGGAAAAUGAGAAGUUAGUUUGAUAGUUUUACAUUUGCUUUCUCCCAACAAUUCUGUAGCAGGGCCAAGGGGGAGGUGUUGGAGACUGGCACCAUUCUAAUAGGUUGGAGAUUUUGAGAGAAGUCUGAAUGAAUCUUUCACAGCCAUCAUCCAAGAAGGGAGGAAACGCCGAGUAUCGAAGGCAAUAGACCUAUUAGUUUAGUGAGAAGAUUUUAUCAGAUCAUUUCAAGGUUCUUUCCAAUAGACUAAAAAAGGUCUCGAACAAGAUAGUGUCUACUUUAUAGAAUGCUUUGAGUAAGGUAGACAUAUUGUAGAUACAACUUUGGUGGCAAAUGAACCAGUAGACUCCGGAAGUAAGCCAGGAGAACUGUAUUUGUUGUGAAAGCUAGACGUUGAGAAAGCAUAUGUCUAUGUCAACUGGAAUUACUGGAUUUCAUUCUGCUGAGUAUGAGCUUUGAGUACAAGAGGAAAAAUGGAUCAAAAUUUGCAUAUCUAUCGUCAGAUACUCGGCAUUUGUGAAUGACCGUCCAUGCAGAUUUUUUGGUAGCUACAUGUUUACAUUAGUUGUGGAAGAGCAACAAGCAGAAUGAUGGAUAGAGUAGUUGUAUAGGGACAUUUGAGCAGCUUCUCAGCAAUGUUCAGAAGUCAAGGCAUCAUUAGAGUGACUCACCUAUUACUCACGGAUGACACAUUAGUUCUUUUUGAUGCUGAUAGGAUACAAUUGGAGUAGAGGCAGAAACCGAAAAUCUGAGAAAGAGGAUCACCUAUAUUAGUUGGUGCUUCAUUUGCGAAAUUCGGGGAGGAUGUGGACCACCUCCUAUAGCAUUUCCAGGUAGUUCACGAAUAUGCUGGAAGAUAUUGAGAUGUCUUGGAAUAUAGUGGACCAUACCCGAAUGCCAGAAAAGGAUGAUUAAUUAGUAGGGCGAUCAAGCGAAUAUGUUAGGCAUGUGUGUUGGAUCUUAUAUAAGUUGUAUGGAGAGAGGAACAAAGGGGUUUCAAAGAAAUCAAAAUGAUUUUGUACAUUUGAAGAAUAGCCUUUUAUCUUUAAUGUAUUUUUGAUGCACCCAUGAGGUUCCUAUUUGUAUGGACAAUUGAGUGUCUUUCAUAGAGAAGCAUUUAUUUUUGUAGCUUUUCCCAUUCUUCAACGAAAUUAUCUCUUGAUAUAAAAAGAUUAAAAUGUGUAAGCUAGCGAUUCAUGUGCAAACUUUCAAGUGAAGAUGUAGACAUUUGCUAAUGCGUUGUCCAUAAGAGCUUGUUGUGGUGGACAAUGCUAAAUCUGUUUGGAGUACAGUGGCCAAUGUCGGCAACUGUAAAAGAUGUGAUGUAAGUUAGACCUAUAAGAGGAAAAGAAGGUGUAGAACAUGUGAUGUACCUCUGCACGCUCUUAUGUUGUAUAUAGAGGGAAAAGAACUUAAGAGUUUUAAAAGAUUUGUACAACUUAGGUGCAUGACACUGCACUUAUAUUAGUUAUUAAUUUUUGUCCACCCAUGAGAUCCAUCUUCAUGUAAGUGCUCUACUUUUUAUGAUAUAUGUAUAUUGAGAUUUUCCCACUAUACUAACAAUAUUAUUAUUUUAUUAGAAAAAGACAUAUCUUUCUGUAAAAUCUCUACUUUUUAUAACACUUCAUACUGAGAUAUUUUGACAACAUUAACAAAAUUAUUAUUUCGUCAGGAAAAGGUUCAUCAACUUGAGGAAGGGGAUGGGGCUGAAAAAGUUGUGUUAUCCCUUGAUAUUUUAUCACAAAAAUAUAAUCAACUAAAACAUGCAGGAACGCUUGCUGAGAGAGGAGCAACGCCUGAAUAGUCGUCCAGAAAGUAGUGGCACCAAUUGCUGAAGAGAGGAGUAGAGAAGAAAAGAACACAUUGGACAUGUGGCAACAUACAGUGGUUGGCAUCGCUCACUGGUCGUUGAAGAUAUUUGAGUCUACCAAGAUUGUAAGGGGUCGUUUGGUACAAAGAUGCAUAAUGCAGGGAUUAGUAAUACAUGGUUUAGUUUUUAUCAAGUGUUUGUUUCAUUGCUUCCCACCUAAUCUUGUGUUUUGUUUAAAACUCUAUAAAAAGCUUCUUUCCUAUUAUACUCUUGAGUUAUUAUGAGAUUUCCUAUGUCAUGUAAUUGGGUCAAAGGUAGAUAAUUGCCGGACAAUAUUAUUUUUUGUGGCCUUCUAACUAGUUAGGAGAAGAAUAAUUUUGUCGCCAUGUUUGCUAUUUUCUCACUUGAAUUAUUUGAGGAUAAAACUCUACAAAAAUCUUCUUUACAAUUAUAUCCUUGAAUUUUUGUUGGAUUUUCUAUUUCAUUUAACUAGUCAAGUUAAAUACUAAAAUAUAAGAAAAAUUAUUAUUAUUUUUUGAGGUGUGAUGUGCCACUACGGACAUCAUUGAUAGCACAAUGUAUUUCUGAUUUUUUGUUGGUCAAAUAUACCUUAAACUUUACAUAGAUUUAAGGCUACUUAAAUUGUUCAAAUACCUAAAGCUUAUUAAAAAAAAAGAAAACAAAUAGUUCAAGUGGUCAAUCGACGAACUACAUUUAAGAAAAAUCCAAAAAUAAAAUCAACCCAAUAUAGCAAAUCAAACAUGGAGAAAAAAAUAUUAGUUUGUGAAAUCAUCAAAUAACAUUGAACGAAUUUGAAAAAUUAAAAGAACAUUUAUAACCAUUCCAAUAUAAAUAAAAAAGGACAUUAAAUUACAAAAGAAAUUUAAGUAAAGGGAUUGGGGGAUUGUUUAGUCAUUUAGGGGUCUUAUCCAAGGAUUCUCAAAACUUUAGAUUAGUUAUCCCUCCCUUUUCUAGGGUUAAAAUAAGACCUCAUAUGGGGUAUAACUAAUCCGUGGAUUAAGUUAUAAAUAAAGUAACCAAACAAAGUUUUUGCUGGACUAAAUUUUAAUCCAUGGACUAUUCUAAUUAAUACCGUCUACAAAACGGGUCCUAAAGGUUGUGAUGCAAUAUGGAAAACUAUAUUACGCUAGUAAACAUACUAUAAUUAAAUACAAGUAUUUGAAGAUAAAAUCUUUUUUAGGAUAAAAAUCCUCAAGGGCCAGUGGUGCAUGGUCUGAAACUCCAGAUAAUAGUCCGCUCUCUAAUCUGUUCACUAAAAAGCCUGACAUUUACUUGCGGUAGGAUUCGAACCUGUAAGGUGUGCCUAACCCCCACAUCACAAGCUACACUCUUACUACAAGACCAAAGCCCUAGGGGCUCCUAAGAUCAGUGUUUUGAAAACCAAAAAGUGCAAAAAAGUGACACGGUCCAUAGGGCUUAAAACAAAAAGCAAGAAGUGAAGCACACAAUGUAACGGAAUUAAAAAAUAUUAAACAUACAUGAAUUUAGCACAAUUAAAAUGAAAUUGUAAUUAAAUAAUUAAUUUCAGCAUCCAACAUACAAUAAUCCCAAUAUUAAUCCAACCCCUCAAAGUUGAGAUUCAAAGAAGCGACAUUCUUAUUAGACUUACUUUGUGCACCAUUGUUUGAGGUGCAAACUUCUCUAUAUUGCAUGUAUUUACCCAUGAAGCAUUAAUCCCUCGCUUCACAUACUAUGUUUUGAAUAAUACUGCCGAAGAUAUCCUAUAGAAUAUCCUACAAUUUUCUUUUUGAUGACCAAAUAUUCUACAAUUCUAAAAUUGUAGAGAAUAUUCUACAACUUUUUUCCUUAUUCAAGUACAAUAAAUCUAGAUAUGUAUGAAUAUACGCACAUAUUCUCUAUAUAUUCUAACAAAGAUCAAUAGUAUGUAGAAAAUUAGGUGCCACAAAAUGAAAACAGUUAAUGAAAUGUUAGCAAAAGUUAUGCAGGAUAUUUGAUGGGUGUGGGGACUUCAACUCAUUUUCCCGACUUACAUGACAUAAAUGACAUUGCUGCCAGUGCUGCGCCACGGUGCAUAGCAGUGCAACAUAUAGCUGCCUUUUGAAAUGAUAAUUCAAGGAUGGAGCCAGAAACUACUAACACUUCCUGAGACACAUCCAGAAUAGAAGGUGUCAAAGUUACAAGCUGUUUCUCUAAUUAUGAAAACAAAAUAACGACGUACAUGCUCUAUUUUUUUUUUUUAAUAAGCACCUGCAUAUAGGUAAACAAUAAUGGAAAAACCAUAAAUAUCACUGCCAUAUUUUCAUGAAUGAGAUGAGAAGAAAAACAGAUAAGAUAGACAAAGAGCAAAAAUAAAUAUAAGCAAUGAUGAUGAAAGGAAGACAUUUUUGGGAGGUGAGAAACACAAAGCACAGAACAAGCAACAGAGCUACAAUUAGGUCUAAUACACUUGUUUGGAAAAGAUCACGGGCAAAGGAGCUAAACUGGUUGUAUUUGCCCUUGAACUUUGCAAAUGGUUUAAAUUUGCACUUUAGCUGCUAAUGUUAGCCCAUAAGGGAAAAAUCGACGACUUUGGGUAGGGCAGUUAACAGUGGGAAAACUUGUUCCGUUUCACAUAGUUUGGGGGAAUAUUUUACUCUUUAUCCAUUGAUAAAAGUAUAAGGGUGAUAUAAGAAUAAAAAACUAUAAUAUAAAAUGUUAAAUCAUCAGAUAUUAAUACGUAAUAAAACAUGCAUUUGGUUGGAAUCUUUUCACCUGAAGGAAUUAUUUUCCUCAUAUUUCAAGUUCCAUAAUCAAAAUCAGUGUUUGAUUACUACAUGUAAGAAUCAACUUUUUAACUAAACCUGUACUUCUCAGAGACCCUGUCUGGUUUGGAUUACGUUGCAGAUUUAAUCAGUUUUCCUAUGAUUUAUUAUUGUACAAAAAAUAAGUUUAAAACUUGCAACUGUGAUUUUAAUUAAUUUUGUUAUCACAUAUAUAUAAACAUAGAAAAAGGUAACCAAAAACCUUCGGAGAGCAGCGGAUGAAAAUAGAUGCGAAAUUAGCAAAGGCCUCCACCAGAUCAGGCUCUUGAUCACAUAUAUAUGAGGAAGUAAGAGCCAUAAUUGAUGUUGACUUGGAAAAUCUUUCAAAGAUACUGACAAAAAGAUGUCCAUAUUCUUCUCUACUGCCAAAUUCCUCAAUGAGAAUGGAAGCUGCAAAAGUUACUGAUCAGCUGAGACAAAGGUAGUUGUAUUGGAAAUAUGAGCAACUCAGCUAAGUUGACAGUUGCCAACUCUUACGACUAUCAAAAGAAGAUCAGAUUCAAGCUGGAAAAGACACAAUGACCUAAAGCUGUUUCCUGGUAUAAAUUUCCACAGCCAAAAAACCAGUUAAAGCCUUUGCUUCAGCACUGAAACUGAGACUUGUUCUAAGCAAAGUUCAGAGAAAUAAUGAUACUGGUUUUGCAAAAGGGCAUAGGGGAAGUAAAACACAUCUAAGAACGAAGAAUUGUACACGUCAAAGCUUUGAAGCAAUCUAUAACACUCUACCUGUUCUUAUGUAGCAGUCAUGGCUUUGGAAUGAUACAAAGUUAGUCGAUAAACAAUUAAGCACUCCUGGCAAAACGGAUGUGAAGUGCUGACCUGCAAAUGUAAUGCACCCAAGCAGUAAGUAAUUUAUGUGAUCAAGGUCUCAACUUUCUCUAGGAAGAUACUAUGUACAAGAGACUUUCAGUAAAUAACCUGUUCUUGUAUUGGUUUGGAAACCUAUAUUACCUUGGACUUUUAAAUGGCUUAUAUGUAUACUUGGAAGAGUGGGGGCAGGGGAUUUUUGAGGUUUUGGUGGUUGGAACUUAUCUUUCGUGACUAGAAUUUGAUUGGUUAUUCAUACUGAUGUUAAACUGACAAGAUAUUACUGUGGGUGACCAUAAUUGAGGCUUGGCUGCUAUAAAUGAGGUUUAAGGUGAGUGGGAGUCCUCUCUUAUGGUUGCUUUCAGGGCUUAAUUGUGUUGUAUGUAAACAUGGUCCUAUUUGUUGUGUUUGGACAUGCUUGUAUAUGCAUUUGACUAGUCUUAAAUGUACAAGAGACUACACACGUGUGGUAACUGUAUCACCACUUAUUUAUUGUGAAACAUGUUGUACUUGCACCUGAUAAACUCUAUACAUGACCAAAGACAUUCUUAUACGUGACAUAAAUGUAUCAGCAAGUAUCUUGUAUUGAAUAAGGCUAUGGGAUGGCGGGGAUAAUGGAGUUUUUUCUAUUAAAUCCAAUUAUGAAAAGCCUUGGGGCAGCAAGAGUCAAUUUUUUCAUCUUCUGGAGUGGAUUCCAAGGGUACCGAGAAAGGUGGGCUUUCACUUGACUAGAAUACGUGGUGUACGGGUUACGUCCCGACCACUUCUCCGACAACUAAGAAUAAGAAUUAGAGGAACAGGAAGAUUACAUGUGGUGGUUGGUGCUUGAUGUGUAAGAAGCUUGCAAGAAGACAUGAAUCACCUCCUUUUACAUUGCCGAAGAGCAUCUCGCUUGCGGUUGCAAAUAUUGUCAUGGUUUGGUCUUUAGUGGGUGAUGCUAGAUGCGGUUAAAGAGAAAAACGUUUAAUCUUUAGAUGAAGGAAGAGAAGACGUAGAGCAUGAAAUGUUACUCUACUAGCAACUUAAGUGAAUCACAUGGAGAGAGAAAAAUGGAAAGCUUUUGAUAGAGAAGAGAAGGAUUUAAUAAACUUGAGAAGUAACUUCUUAUACCUUAUUUCCUUUUGGUGUACCCAUGAGGUUUUUACAAUAUAGAAUUGUUGUUUGUAGAGAACCAUAUGUUUUUGUAAGGUUUUCUACUUUUGGUAUAGUCCUUGUAAAUGGGUGUCUCCAUGCCCUCCAAUAACAAAAUUUUAUUACCUUAUAUCAAAAGAACCAUAUGUUUUAAUAAGAUUUUCUACUUUUUGGUAUAGUCCUUGUAUAUAAGUGUUGCCAUGUCACUCUAUUAGAUAAUUUUAAUACUUUAUAUGUAUAAACAAAGGCAAUGGAUUGCUUGUACUUGCAAAACAGUGAGGCUACCUACAUACUUGAACUAAUACACAGGUAAAUUAGAUGCUCAUAGGUUAGGGGCGGAGCCACCUUAGCUUAUGUGAUGUCAUCCGUCACUGCUUCAUCGGAUAGUUUUGCUAUACAUAUGUAUAUAUGAUUAACAAGCAAGAUUAAAAAAAUUAGAUAAAAGGAAUAAAUGACACCCCUUGUUACAAUGGAAGUCUCAGCUCUCAUGGUUAAGCGUUAAUUUUAUUUUGGAGAUAUCAUGGGAUCGAUUCUUAGAGCUACUUGUGUGUAUCUUUUUAAAAGUUCUGAGCAAUACAAGGCUUUGCGCCUCAGUAGUUGUAUUAGUUAUUUUUGUGGCUCAUACACUGCAAAAAGUCCAUGCGCACCUUGACUAAUUCCACGGGAAUACUUGCCACCUCCCACCAGUCCUUUUGUAUAUUAUGAUGUCAUUAUAGUGAAUUGUUCAUUUAUUUGUUUUUAUGCACUCUCCGAAGGAAGAGCACGAAGAAGCGGUCAACAAGAUUCUAAGAUAUAUGAAAAGUUCACCGGGGAAAUGAUUGUUUUUCAGAAAAGGUCAAGAUAGAGGCAUUGAAAGCUUUACAGAUGCAGAUUGGGUAGGUUCUACUAUUGAUAGGAGGUCUACAUCAAGAUACUGUACUUUUAUCUAGGGAAAUCUUGUGACUUCGAGGAGUAAAAAGCAGAAUGUUGUAGCCCGUAGCAGUGCUGAAGCUAAAUAUCGAUCUAUGACCCAUGGGAUCUGUGAAAUGAUUUGGCUUAAGAAGAUGAUGGAAAACUAAAAAAACUGUUUGUGUUACUAAUGAAAUUGUACUGUGACAACAAAGCCGCCAUUAAGUAUUAAUCACAAUCCAGUUCAACAUGACAUAACAAAGCAUGUUGUAGUGGAUAGGCACUUCAUAAAAUAGAAGAUUGAAGAAGGAAACAUGUGCAUGCGUUUCGUCCCAACAAAUCAACAAAUUGCAGAUAUUUUUACAAAAGGCUUGUUUAAACCAAAGCUUGAAAUUCUCGUAAGCAAGUUAGGCAUGAAAGAUAUUUACAAGCCAACUUGAGGGGGCAUGUUGAUUUGUAAAUAGCUAAGUGUGAUUAGAUAUGAUUUUGUAGGAUUUAAAUUGAUCUAACAAAAUCAUGUCUGCUAUAUUAUUAAAUAAGUUAGGAUAUAAGAAUCAUCCCUUGAUUCUCAACUCUCCUAGAAUUAAGGAAUCUGAUUGCUAGCUAGUUUAUUUUUCUAUAUUAUAAAUUUGUAUCUCUAUGGAUGAAUAAAAUUGUACAAUUUCGGUACCAAAACUUACACCUUUUAUGUCGACACCGCUUAUGAGAAAUCCUACAUACGCCCCUGCAAUGGUGGAGCUUACCCUAUCCAGCCAUUCCAGAAGUUGGGGUUGGUAGCAUAUAGGGGUCCCUAGCUACAAGGGAUUAGGAGAGCAACGACUAGUUGAAAUACAUUUAAUGAACCCCCAGUUGAUAUGUUAUAUGCAAUGUGUACUGAAAGUACCAUAGUCAAAAAUAUAUUAGUUUAUAUGUGGAACUAUGUACUUUUGUAUUUUGAACUUGCAUAUUGCUUGUCCACCUUGGACUGAGUAAUCAUUCACUAUUCCUGGUUCGCCCUCUCUUUCACAGCUUAGGAGUACACAUCGAUGAGCUUAAGUAAGCCUUUUUGACUAAUACACUUUGUUGAUGUGGCUCGCCCCUCUUCUUACAUUUUACAGACGUUGAAUUGGGUUACUAUUGAAUUGAUAAUUGCCAAUUGGCUUUGACAUGUCAUCUCACGACAUCUGUUGGAUAACAAAUAUUUGGAUAGUCAGUUGCUUAUAGUAUUAUAUCUGAGAUAUACUUAAGUUUAUUAUCGAAUUAGGCCUACUAGGUGACAAUUUUAGGUACCAAUUUCUAAUGCAUGUCCACAAGGUGACAAAAUUUACUUGUAUAAAUAUGGAAAAGGAAAAGUUGUAAUUGGUAAGCCUGUCGUUCUUGGGGAAAAUUUCAGAGAAUUGAAUGCUGGUUUUAGAGAUUUUUUUUUUAAAUAAAUCAGAAAAGAAGUACCCGAUGACUGAAUUGCUUGGGAAAGAGCUCUGCAUGCUGCCAUAGAUAGAAUAGCAUUUCCAAUGUGCUCCGACUGAAAAAGUUUUUCUAACAUUUGCCAGAAUACUCCUAGCAGCGCUACAAGAGGAUCAUCCACAUCCGAACCAGCAGAAGACUCUGUUGACAGAUGGCUGAAUAAAGUUCCCAACCUGACCAAUUGGCCAAGGCUUUACUACAUAGAAAGGUAUACGGAUGGAAAGCAAAGACCAGCAAGUAAUUCAUAGUAGUCCUUUACAGAAUGGGGAAAAAAAGUUUAGAUUCUUCCCAACCUUCAUAGAACUAGUGUUUUUGCAGAAUCUACGUCAAAUACCUUGUUUUAGACUCUUCGUGGUAAUUAAGACUGACAUAGAGAACAAAAUGAUAGAAAGUAUAGCAGCGAUUAAUACACGUGAUCAUACACAUACUGCAGAUAAAAUUCUAAAAAACUAAUAAUCGAAUUUUGCAUCAGUCAUGUGGAGGGGAUUGGUUCACUUCUCAAGUAAAUGCUCUGUAAGGACUCAAUUUUGUAUGAAAUGUCUCAUACCAGGUUUCACACUUUUGGGAAGAAAAAGAAGGUACAAUUUUAUCACACUUCUUUUAAAAAUAGGAUGCUACCAGGAAAUGUUCAGAUGGUGUAUUGGUCGAAAGAUGGCAGAACAUUUCAAAAUUGGUAUGCUUCUGUGCCAAUGAUAGCCUUGCACUGCAAACUAGAGAGCAGAAUAACAUAGAACAUGAUCUUUGUGAAUGUUACAUUUCAAUUUCUCUCCGUGGCAAUGGCAUGCAAACCUUGAUAAGAAAAAUAUCUGAACUAAUGCAGAUGCAAAAAAUAAUAACGUAGCAAUAGGUUCAAACCUAUGUAAACCUCUUCUUGCAGCAUUAGUCAACUGAGAAUAAGAAGCAGGAUUAUGCCUUAAAGACUGGUCUUGAUUUUCAUCAAUCUGAAACAGAGAAAUUCAUUCUCAGUUAAGGUAAGAGCUUAGAGGACAGUUAAUAAACAAUUUAUAGUACUCUGCAUCAUGUGCUUUCAAACUGAUCCAAUUUUUUUUGGUUAAGGUGAAUAAUUUUAUAAAAAUGGGACAAACCUGAAAAGACCCAAAAAAAGGAGAAAAAAAGAUAAAUGCCAAUGGAGAUCAUAGAGAGGUGUCACAUCACGUUGUCUAUGUUUCUCCUUUAUAUAUAUAUAUAUAUAUAUAUANNNNNNNNNNNNNNNNNNNNNNNNNNNNNNNNNNNNNNNNNNNNNNNNNNNNNNNNNNNNNNNNNNNNNNNNNNNNNNNNNNNNNNNNNNNNNNNNNNNNNNNNNNNNNNNNNNNNNNNNNNNNNNNNNNNNNNNNNNNNNNNNNNNNNNNNNNNNNNNNNNNNNNNNNNNNNNNNNNNNNNNNNNNNNNNNNNNNNNNNNNNNNNNNNNNNNNNNNNNNNNNNNNNNNNNNNNNNNNNNNNNNNNNNNNNNNNNNNNNNNNNNNNNNNNNNNNNNNNNNNNNNNNNNNNNNNNNNNNNNNNNNNNNNNNNNNNNNNNNNNNNNNNNNNNNNNNNNNNNNNNNNNNNNNNNNNNNNNNNNNNNNNNNNNNNNNNNNNNNNNNNNNNNNNNNNNNNNNNNNNNNNNNNNNNNNNNNNNNNNNNNNNNNNNNNNNNNNNNNNNNNNNNNNNNNNNNNNNNNNNNNNNNNNNNNNNNNNNNNNNNNNNNNNNNNNNNNNNNNNNNNNNNNNNNNNNNNNNNNNNNNNNNNNNNNNNNNNNNNNNNNNNNNNNNNNNNNNNNNNNNNNNNNNNNNNNNNNNNNNNNNNNNNNNNNNNNNNNNNNNNNNNNNNNNNNNNNNNNNNNNNNNNNNNNNNNNNNNNNNNNNNNNNNNNNNNNNNNNNNNNNNNNNNNNNNNNNNNNNNNNNNNNNNNNNNNNNNNNNNNNNNNNNNNNNNNNNNNNNNNNNNNNNNNNNNNNNNNNNNNNNNNNNNNNNNNNNNNNNNNNNNNNNNNNNNNNNNNNNNNNNNNNNNNNNNNNNNNNNNNNNNNNNNNNNNNNNNNNNNNNNNNNNNNNNNNNNNNNNNNNNNNNNNNNNNNNNNNNNNNNNNNNNNNNNNNNNNNNNNNNNNNNNNNNNNNNNNNNNNNNNNNNNNNNNNNNNNNNNNNNNNNNNNNNNNNNNNNNNNNNNNNNNNNNNNNNNNNNNNNNNNNNNNNNNNNNNNNNNNNNNNNNNNNNNNNNNNNNNNNNNNNNNNNNNNNNNNNNNNNNNNNNNNNNNNNNNNNNNNNNNNNNNNNNNNNNNNNNNNNNNNNNNNNNNNNNNNNNNNNNNNNNNNNNNNNNNNNNNNNNNNNNNNNNNNNNNNNNNNNNNNNNNNNNNNNNNNNNNNNNNNNNNNNNNNNNNNNNNNNNNNNNNNNNNNNNNNNNNNNNNNNNNNNNNNNNNNNNNNNNNNNNNNNNNNNNNNNNNNNNNNNNNNNNNNNNNNNNNNNNNNNNNNNNNNNNNNNNNNNNNNNNNNNNNNNNNNNNNNNNNNNNNNNNNNNNNNNNNNNNNNNNNNNNNNNNNNNNNNNNNNNNNNNNNNNNNNNNNNNNNNNNNNNNNNNNNNNNNNNNNNNNNNNNNNNNNNNNNNNNNNNNNNNNNNNNNNNNNNNNNNNNNNNNNNNNNNNNNNNNNNNNNNNNNNNNNNNUGUGUCUCCUUUAUAUAUAUAUAUAUAUAUAUAUAUAUAUAUAUAUGUUCAGGCCUUUUCGAAAAGGUUAAUGAAACCAAAAUAUGGUUCUCUACGAAAGAAACUCAAUCAUCUAUACACAUUGGGGUCUCAUGGGUAAACCAAAAAGAAAAAAAAACUAGAAACAUAAGAUUGCUUUGCAAUUUCACAAUAUCACUAUCAACCCCUUCAAACACUCUCAUGUUUUAGUCCUUCCAAAGAAUAUGCAUGAUGCUUAUGGAGCAACAUCCCAUGCCCUAGAUCUUCUCUUUCUUCUUCUCAACAGUGUUUUGGAAAGCAAGACGUGGAAAAAAGUGAUGAGGGCUCGCUUCACCGAAGCGAAAAGCAUAAAGCGAAGCACACACUUUUUUCAAAUAAAGUGUUGUUUAGUAUAAAAAUAGGAAAAUAUUAAAUAUGCAUGGAUAAAUAACCAAGAACUCAAUAGAAAUAAUAUAUUAAGCAGGUCUUUCAAUUCUUAAAUUAAAAAGUAAAUAAUAGAUACUAGAAAUAGAAAGUCAAUAAUCCUCCUAAGUCAUACUCUCUCCGUCGCAAUUUAUGUCAGUUAGUUUGACUUGGUAUGGAGUUUAAGAAAGAAAGACUUUUGAAAUUUAUGGUCUAAGAUAAGUCAUAGAUUUUUGUGUGGCUAUAAAUCAUUUCACUAAGGGUAAAAUGGGCAUUUUGAAGUUAAAUUGUUACUAAAUAUAAUAUGCGUAAUUCUUUUUGGGACCGACUAAAAGGAAAGUAAGUCAUAUAAAUUGGGAUAGAGGGAAUAACAAAAUAAACAAAUGCAUAACCAAAUCACAAGGGGAGCAAAUUCUUAUUCUUCAACAAAACAGAGUAUUGCAGAAUGCGACUUACAGUAGCAUUGAAAAACAGUAAGUUGAAAAAGAAAACCCUAGCAGUAACCCGCAGCAGAUAAAAGAAGAAGAGAAAAAGAAGAGAUGAAAAACUUACCUUGCAAGUCGUUGAAAGAAAGUCGCAGCAGUCGCACAAAAGAGGGAAAUGUUUGGAAAGAAGUCUCUAAGUAUCUUUACAGUUUUUUUAAAAAAAACCUAGUUAAAGCUGACCUCGCUUAAGCGAGCUUUUUCUCGCUUUUACAAAUGUCACACUUCUCACUUCAGUCCCAGAAGCGCUCACUUUUUCACCAUAGCAUUGCUUCAAGGAAUAAAUCGACAGCAUGUCGCUUCGCUUCAUUUUGCACUUUAAGCGACAAAGCGUUUGCCAGUGAAUGCUGAUGGGGUGAAAAUUCAAAGGAAAAGGGUAUAGAAAUACUGAAGUAGAGAACAAAGCAAAGAGCAUGAGGCAUAACACCAAAGGUACAAAUGUGGACUACUCGAAAAGAAAGAUUCUGAACCAAUACAAAACAAUUUGGUACAAGCGGAUCACAUUCAUGUUAUUUUGCACAAAUGUUGGAAGCACCUAUGAAAUACAAGUAACAUAAAAGUUUGAGUGCUUUUUCAGGUAGAAUCAUGUUUUUUUCUGUUAUUCUAAGAUCUUGUGUGCUUUUUGUUUAUGCAGGGAUUAUUUCUCUUUCCCUUAAUAAAAAUAUGCUAAGUUGGAUGUGUGGAGACAAACACAAGAGUCUAACCUGUUUGGCCAUGAGGAUUUUUAACUUUCUUUCGGAUUUGUUUUUUUACUUUAUACGAAAAUCCGCAUUUGGCCAUGAAAAUUUCAAAUUGAAGUUGUAUUUGGAAUUUGGAAAACACCAAGAACUUUGUUUUCACUUUAACUAUAUUUUUCUUUUUCCAAUUUUACCAGAACUGAUUUUAUUUUUAUAAAAUUACCUCUUUUAAAUUAUAUUUCAUAUUUUGAGGUAAAGUACAUUCAAACAAAUAAAUAUUAUUUGCAAAAAUUAUAACCGUUUCUCUAACUUCAAAAACUUCAAAUUAAGUAAAAAAAAUUUGUAAUAGUAUGUAGUAGAUUUUAUAUGAGAUCUAAAUUAUGACAUUAUGUUCGUAUCUAUUUUGAGACAAGUUAGGUGAUUUUGUUAGUUCUUAGAAAUCAGGAGUAUAAACCAUAUUUAGAAAAAGUACAUUCAAAUUCUAAAUAUUCUUUGCAAAAGUAUGGCCAACCACAACUCCAACUCUAACUUAAAAAAAUUAAAAUAAAAUGAAAUAUUUGUUUUCAUGUCCAAACACCCACUAAAGGGUUCAAGUUGAGCACGACCAAGACAAAUUGCUAGGAAUGCAAGUUCAGUGACGUAACUCAUGAGGUUGGCGUGAAAGUGAGGCUUAAUACCCAGAUCAUCCAGAAAAAAGGAAGUUUUAAGUAUCAUAGGUCAUAAUACUAAGUAAUCAGAAGACUGACAAUGAUGUCACACACUGUAUUGGUGCAUGGUGGAUGAAAAAUAGAGGCUCGAAUCCGGAGUCUUGUGUGACAAGAAGGGGUCACCAAAACUUAAAGGCAAGUUCUACACAGUGGUGGUAGUUUCUUGUUUCUUUGAUUUUUGUUACUAUUUAUUGUUCUUUAUACUUCGAUUAUCGUAUUAUUUUGUUAUAGUUAGUGCUCCUUUUAAGCUUGCUUUGUCUUGUCGUGUUUAGUAUUUUUCCUUGGUUUCUUCACUCCUGUUAUUUUCUUGAAACGAGGGUCUAUCGAAAACAACCUCUCUUCCUCCCAAGAUAGGGGCAAGGUUCGGCGUACACACUACCUUCCCUAACCCCACUUGUGGGAUUACACUAGGUAUCUUGUUUUUGUUGUACUUUAUAAAAAUAUGAAUUUCAUUUUAUAAAAAUAUUAAAGUUGAUAAUUGGUCCAUACAUAACACUCACAAAAAUAAGACAUAACUUUAGGCGGUAUUGCGACAAGGAGACCUAUGUUACUUGGAAUCUCCAAUAAUGUUGCCUCACCUGAGUUGAAUACUUUAAAAAUACACUAUUUGAAGUAUCUGACACACACACAUUGAUAUUUUUGAAGAAUCCGAGCUACAUAGAAGGAGACUAGGUGACACAACUCAAACAAGAUUAUUUAAUACGAAAUGUUGAAAGAACUUCAAAAUAGUACGGGGAAAAAGAGAGAUACAACACUCUUUAUAGAACCACAAUAUAGUUAUAUACUGUUAUAAGUUCAUGACAUGAAAGAGAUACAAGAAAAGAAGAAGAUGAACUUACUAGUUUGCCAAUAGCUUUGUAGCAAGGUGAGACCAACCUAGCCAACAAAUUAUUCUUCAGCUCCUUGUUAGGAAGGGAACCAAGUAUCAAGGUAAUCGCGCUGACUACUUUUUCUUCAUCCUCUAGAGGCAAAUGCCUUUCAUCCAAACUCUAAAAAAAUAUGUCCAACACAAGGAACAAGAGAAACAAUAGCAAUUACACUUUAAUUAUCACUCCAAUAAAUGAUAAAACCAAACUUACAGAUCCAAGAAAUGAGAAAUAUCUAUACGAAUUAUUAAAAGGUAAACAAUUAUGUUUAUCAAAUUUUUUGUCCUAAAAUACCCCUCCAAUCACCCCAACUAUCAAGACAAAGAAAAAGUCGAUAAGGUCAUAAUAUUGAAAUGGAUAGCUAUACUUUCAACUCCUCUCACUCUCUAAAUCAACUAUCAUAUGCUUUUUUCUUUCCAAUUUUAAUUUUCAUUAAAUUUCAAUAAACUAUGAACAUGUACAAGUGCGUGACAUUUAGUCAAUAUUAUUGGAAAUUCAUUUCAAACCAAUGUCUUAAUAACUAAAAAUCCUGCAGAAAAAGGGAUUGCCAAUUGUGUCCAGAUGCAUGUUAUGUAGUGACGCUAGAGAGACAAAUAAUCAUCUGUUCCUCCAUUGUAAAGUCACAUCUCAGCUUUGGACUAUGUUCCUCAGUUUAACAGAGACAAAAUGGUCAAUGCCAGAGCACACAGCAGACUUGUUAAGUUGCUGGAUUAGGAGAGGGGGAAGCAAGACACAGAAGAAGUGGUGGAGAAUAAUCCCACACUGUAUCUGGUGGACUAUCUGGAGGGAGAGGAAUGGAAGAAACUUUGAAGAUAGAUUCAACAACAUUCAGAAAAUCAAAGAGAGCUGCAUAGCAACUUUCUACUUUUGGUGUAAAGAACAUUGUAUAGAAAAUGCUGAACAAUUAGUAGAUCUUUUAGGAUUACUGUAAUUAGUUUCUCGUUCUAGUUUGUUACUACCUUUUUGGAGGUCUCCAGCAUACCUUAAUGCUGAGGAAAACAACAUUAUCAGUUUCAAAAAAAAAAAAACUAUUUUUACCUGAAAAUUACUGCAAUACAAAAUUACUUGAACAAAGACCAAGGACCUUCAAGUAAAAAUAUUUUGAUACACCAUACAGUUUAUAGGACAAACCUCUCCAAUCCAAAGUAAGAUCUCCAAACUUGAAUGUUCAUACAUAGGGGUAGCGGCAUCUUCACAUAACUUGAGCAAAGCACUGGCACAAGCUGCUGAACAUAAGGGUUCUGAGAUGCCCGUUGCAAGAAAUAAUCUGAAAAUAACAUAUUAAGAUAUCACUACAACAUCAACAGGAAUGCUCAUGGACAAGGUACAACAAAUGCCACCCAAAAACAAGGGGAAAAAAGAGGUAUGUGGUUGAUAAUGGAAGUCUUUUUUAAUGCUUUCACCACACAAAUAGACAGAAAAACUUUGCAGAAGAAAUGGGACACGAGGACUGUCAGAGGAAGAGUACGAAGAGAAGAGGGCAAUUCAUGAUAUUAUACAAACAACUGUAGAAAAAGUAUGUCGCGAAAAAAGGAUGUAGGGAAUCAAUUUUAACCAAAUAGGAGCCAUGGAAUGAGGAAAUGGAACACGGGAGUUUUCAAAAGAGGAAGUUUGGAAGCAGGCUAGACAUAUGCUGUGGGGAUAAUUUCCCAGACCCAUUCGAUGAAGCUUUCUUCUAGCAGUGUUGGAGCAGAGUAAACAAAAAUUACAUAGUACUCACUCCAUUCAUUUUAUAUCCCUUGAAAAGUUGAUAAGAGCAACAAUAUCUUUUUGUAUUGCCAUUGUAACAAAGAAAGAAGGGGCCGUUCCAUUAGAGAAUUUGACCCGUAAGUUCUGUUGAAAAUCAACAAAAAAUAACGUAGUUUUGUAUUAUAAUGUCACCAAAGUCAUUAUGUUUCAAAAUAGUAUCCUAAUAAUUGAAUAUUGUAGAAUAUUUUAUAUGACAUUCUAGGAUACUCUAAUUAAAUGUACAAAUAUAUUUAGAUACCUUUGUAUGAGUAGAUAAUAACUGCUUACAUAUUGUAAGUAGAGAAUAACUACUUUAUCUUAAUGUACUAGAUUAAGCACAUAAGAUUCAAGAAACUCAUGUUCAGUAAUGUCAAAAUCAAGUUUUAUACAUCUCUCGUGUUCAGUCUUUUAUUUCUUUACAUGGUAUCAGAGCACUGGAUCUUUGUAGAGACUCAAAUAAAGCUAACCUACUAGCCGGCAGCCUUGCACUGCUGCAAGUCGGAUGAUUCUUUUUUCUAUUGAGCAUCUGGAACUACUACUUUUUCCCACUGCCAGCACAACUCCCGCUUCCAUAAUCCAGCAUCUCUCUCUCUCUCUCUCAAGUAGGGGUGUUCGAUUAAAAACCAAAUUGAAAAUCAAAUCAAACUAACUUUAAAUUUUUUCUUAGACAUAUUAGUGAUCCUUGCUUAUAACAUAAUAUUUAAUGACUAUUAUAGAGGAUAGAUUUAUGCUUAUUUAAAUGCUUGAUUCUAACGUGUAUGCCACUUUCUUAGCAUGUGCUGUUUUCAAUUUCACAAGACAAGUUUUAUUAAGGUCAUGUAUUUUUUUCAGACUUUGAGAUAUUGUUUUACCAACUAUUCUUAAAAGUAGGUGAAACAUAUCAUAUUUAGGUUUUGAUAUUGAGUUUUGCAUCCAUAUUGAAGAUUUCAAGAGUCAUUUGUUUAUCCUUUUUAAAUAUCAACAUUUGGUUAGGCUUAAAAUUAUAUAACUGUAAGAUAUAUUAAUGGAGGGGAACAAUUAUCAUAUAUUACAAAGAGAAUUUCUCACAUUAGAAUAUUUUAGUAGAUCACAAAACUGGCUUGAUUCAUGGAAAAGUUUAUUCACGACUUAAUAGAUUGAAUGGGUUGAAUUUGUAUAGCAUGUCCACUGAAAAGAAAAUAAUCAAAAAAGACCAAACCAGUAAAAAACCAAAAAAUAGUUGGUUUGGGUUUAGUUUCGAUGAAAACCAAACCAUGAACACCCCAACACUUAGGCUACCAACAUUGUUCCUAUCUAAAAGCCGAUACCGCUCCUCUCUCAAUUAUUGACACUAAUAUUUCUCUCCGACAAUCGAUGCCACUCCUCUCUGUAGUGAUCCAUCACUUUUCUCGGAAAAAGAAAGUAAGGGUGAUGCAAGAUUAUUGGGGGUAAGAGGGAGGAUAUUGCAUGAUCACACAAAUACAACGAGGGAAAGUAGAUCAAGAGGCCUAGUGCAUCUACCUAAUAUAUGUGUACCAUGCUUGUGCCACUGUCAAUGAACUAUACCGCUAUCCCAAAUAAGUUGGGAUCGGACAUAUGAACCCUCUAUAUUCAUUGACCUCUAUUUACGUACAUAGAGACAUCAGGGAGGCAGUAGAAGGUUGGAGUGAGUGGAAAGUUGACAAAGCCAACAGGAAAAUCUAGAAGAUCCCAGCAAGUAUAUUUUGGUGCCUUUGGCAAGAAAGGAAUCACAAAUGUUUUGAUGCCAUAUCAACUCCAAGCCACUCUUUGGAAGCUAAAGGCCUUUUGUAUCUUUUUAGUUAGAACACUCAUUCCCUUGUAAAUGAUGUUGUCUCCCUCCUAGAUUUCAUCAGUUCACUCACUCCAGUUUAACCCAUAUACCUUUUGUUAGUUUGUUAGCUUCCUGGGCUGAGUUCUGUAACAAUGUAUUGGAGCCAACAUUUACUUGUUUUUGUAACUAUGAAUCUUCAUGAAGCCAACAAUAAAAACACCUUAUUUCAUCCAAAAAAAAAAAGAAGGCGAAGGUACAUUUCAUCCUAAAAACUAUAUCAUUUGCCUUCUACGGCGAAUAAGGGAUUCAUCAGAUCUCACACUUAACCUUGGACACUAUUUCUUUGUUUCUAUUGUUUCUAUUGUGUUCUAUCUUCAGCUACGUAUGCAUUGAUUCUAAGAAAUUUUAACUCUUUUGAAAUAACUUUCCUCCAUACGUUUCAGGUCUGCCUCAUCCUCUACUAUUGCAUAAUUGGUUAUUAUUACAUUGGUCAUCAACCAAUUGUUGUGGCAGAAAAAUCACAUAGGUUAUGGAGGAAUUUUUCUGCGGAUAUGACUAAGGAGGUGAAAAGGCAUCAUCAGCUAAAUUGGAAGACAAUCACAUUUGGUAUUGUUAGAAUAGAAAUAGGAACAAGAAUAGUAUAUAGAAUCCUACUUGGAAAAAGAUUAGUAUAUAGAAUCCUACUUGAAAAAAGAUUGUAUUAUGGUGUCUAUAAAUAGGAUUUCAAUGUAAUAACGUAGAUACACAAUUCAAUAAUUUUCUUCUCCAAUAUUUCUCUCACAAGGUAUCAGAGCUUCUACGAUCCUGGUAGAGAAUCAAAGAGCUUCCACUCCGAGGGACGGCUAUGACCCAUAUAUAUCGCCUGCCUGACCAAUGGCCAAAGAUAUAUGCAUGAACCCUACAUUCAGGAGAAGAAAACUCAGUCGGACAGGUCACCGUGUGACAAUUUCCGGUGACUUUCUAGACUGUUUGGUGUCAACCCCAUAUUUAUUAGUGUUUGUGUAGAGCAUCGUGCAUCAUUCCGAUGACUACUUUCUCAUAUCGAAUUUGCGUAGCACCGUGCAUCUUUCUGGUGACUACAUGCCUAUAUCUGAUUUCUGUAGCACUGUGCAUCAUUCUAGUGACUUUUUUCUCAUAUCUCAUUUGUGUAGCACCAUUCACCAUUCUGGUGACUACUUUCUCAUAUUGAAUUUGCGUAGCACCAUGCAUUUUUUCGAUGACUACUUUCUCAUAUCUGAUUUGUGUAGCACCGUGCAUCUUUUUAGACUGCUUUCUCAUAUCUGAGUUGUGUGGCACCGUGCAUCUUUUUGGACUGCUUUCUCAUAUCUAAGUUGUGAAACACCGUAUGUCUUUUUAUGUAAGACCUCGGAAUCUAGUAGUCUAAGCUAGGGGCUAAGUGUCAAAUCACUAGACAAAGAUUUGAGCCUAAGCACCCUUCACGAGGACCCAUACGGGCCGUGAAGGGCACCACGAGUCGUGGUGGCUCACAGUAGCUAACCAAAGAAGCCUCACCUCCCACGACCACCAUGACGGCUCGUGGUGGGGACCACGGGUCGUGGUGAUGUUCCUAAAAGGCUAGGCAGUAAGUAUGCUUAGGUAGCCUUCUCCCACGAGCCACUUGAUGGCUCGUGAAGGCCUUGACGGCUCGUGGAGGUGGGCGUGUGGGGAAGAUGAGUUUAAGGGUGGCAACCCAAGCCACUAGUUUAGGACCACGGCUUGUGAAAAGCCUCUCGUGAAGGUGGGUCGGAAGCUUUUAGUUAAGGGGCAUAUGGGUCUUCUUCAUAUUUAAUUAAAUCAAAGCCAUGUCGUUUUACCCAUGCCUAGGACCCCUGUAUAAGUGAUUUUAACCCCAAAACUCACUUAUUCAAGUCAUUCUCUUAAAAUCACCAAAAGAAUUGGGUUCUUCCUCUCCAAAAUAUUUCUCUCUCUAGAACUUGAAGAAGAAGAAAGGGUUGAAGCUAAGGUCAAGGUCAAGUCUCCAUUCCUUAAGCAUUUGUGGGCUUUGAUAGCAAGGUAUGAUAGUUUUUCAUCCAUGGAGCCCCUAAGUUCUCCCAAUUAAAAAGUAGAAAUUCCCCAAUUUGAGUUAGGGUUUUCUUCUAAGUAAUGGGUCUUUGUGAAUGUUGAUUCAAUUGAUGGAAUUAGGAUUGUUUAUGCAUGAAUUGAGAGGAUUACAUGCUUUUAUGAUGAAUUUCCAUGUACCCAUGCCUAACCCAUGAUUCUAAGUAGAAGUUGAUGUAGAUGGGUUUUAUGCCAUAAAAGGAGAAAUUAUGGGUUUAGAUGUAUUCUUAUAGGAUUGAUAAGAUACAUUAGAAUUGCUUUGAGAUUGAAGCAUAUAUGAUGAUUUAUGAUUAGAAUUGCUUGAUAUUGAAGCAUAUAUGAUGAUUUAUGAUAUGAAGGGCUUUGAGAGUGACGCUUAUGCAUUAAUUGUGAAUUGUUGAUGUGAUUGAUUGUGGAAGGGAAUUUCCCACAUGAUUUCUUCUAUGUAUGUAUGAAUGUGAAAGGCCUUCUCACAUUGAAUGAUUCUAGGUUGAAAGGAUUGUUCACCUAAAAUGAAUCUAAGUUAAGAAGGCUAUAAAAUUGAUGAGGCAAAGAGGUGAUUACCCUUGAUCUCCAUAUGAGAAGGAUAAGGGGGCGAUUACCCAUAUUCCCUAAAGUAGGAUGAGGGGCGAUUACCCAUAUUCCUUAGAAUAGAAUAAGAGGCAACUACCCUUAUUCCUUGAAGUUGAACAAGAGGCGACUACCCACGUUCCUAUGAUGUAAAAGACAAGAGGCAAGUUCCCAUGUCACAUGAAUGUUGGACUAGAGGCGAAUACCCAUGAUCCUAAAUAAAGGGACUACAAGCGACUACCCACGAUCCCAAAGUAAGAAGGAUAAGAGGCGACUACCCAUGAUCCUUUGUAGCAAGGCAAGAGGCGAGUACCCAUGAGCCUUUAUAGUUAGGCAAAGAGGCGAAUCCCCAUGUCUUUAAAAGUAAGCAAGAAUAAUAUGUGAAAUGCUAAGAUGAAUAAUUAGCUUGGAUUGAUGCUUGAGUUGUCUUCCAUGAUAUAUAAGACUAGAGGCAGAUUACCGAAGACUUGAUGAAGGAUAAGUUGAGGUUACUUCAAGAAGUACUCCUCCUAUGUUAUGAUGAUCUAUUAUGUGCAUUGAUUAUGUUUUAUGACUUAUGUUGUCUAAUGCUUAUGUUUAUGUUGUUUAUGCAAGCUAUCAUAUUUAGUACAUGUUUGUACUAACGCAUACUCUUGCGUACAUUUCUUAUCCAAAUGUAGGGUCUGACGAUCUCGACUCUCAUCCCUGUGGCUAGGAUUUAUAGUAGAGGCAAGGUUGAAUAUUGGUGAGUCCUCAUAGCAUUCGAGGAUUUGGCCACUAUUUCUCUUAUGUUCUUUUAUUUUAGUUUGUGAACAUUGUUGUAUGGGAUGUGUCCCAAGAAUCGAUUGCAUUAGAUGGUUUUUAAGACAAGUGUAUUAGACUUCCGCUUUUGAAAUGCAAACUUUGAUUGUGUUGAAAUGUUUUAAAAAUCCCGUCUAUUUCUAUUAUCUUGACUAUGAAAGCUAAGCGGCUUGUAUGAGGCCUCUCGGGGUCUUGUAUGCCAUGUUACAUCUAGGGGCACCCCUGGGUCGUGACAUUUUAGUGACUCUUGAGAUUUGAUUUACGUUGUUCCAUGCGUCAUUUGGAUGACUCCUCAUAUCUGACUUACAUAGUUUCACUUUUUGUUAGUAGUGCGAAAACCAACACCGCCAAGAGGUACACUGUCUCCGUGCAACCAAACCGCAAGCAAUGUCAUUUUGAAUCAACCUCCCUCGCAGAUCCCUUAUGCGCGACUAGAUCUAGGGUUCCAGUGACAAUGUCAGUACCACACACGGAUGCGUGAACAUGUCCGAACAGUAUUUUGGCAACUUUGUUGUUCCAAUUCGACUUGUCUCUUGAUUCUAACAUGAUCCAUAUAUUUUAUACCAAAUUUUGAGCACUUUUUGGCGACCAUGCACUAUGAAGACAUAAGGACCAUCUGAGCAAUCACCUAGUUUUGUUGCUCAGGGGAAGUUUAGUAGCCUUGUAUGCCAAUUGUGUAGGUCACUUUGUGGUCUGAAACAAUCUUCUCGAGCUUGAUUUGAGAGGUUCAACACAGUAAUUCAGAAGUUUGGCAUGACUCAUGUAGGAACUGAUCAUUCUUUGUUUUAUCGGCAUUCUGCAUCAAAUCAAUAUUUCAUGAGAGGACUAUACACAAUUUGAUAAUAUUCUUCUCCAAUAUCUCUCACAUGUAUGAAUAUGGGAUGCUUAAGGUUUAAAGCAUUAUGAGUUUCUAAUGAGGUAGUACUACAAAGUGCAUUUGGAGAACUAAACACGUGGGAAGAGUCAUAGCAAGCUACUAUCUAUCUAUCUAUCUAUACUACCUUAAAACAUGAACUCCCAUACCCCAACUAAAAGCAUCCAAUUUAGUAUAUCUUCUAUACUUUAUGUUUAUAUUUAUUUAUAUUAUAUUCAAAGCAAACAACUUUCCACAUUGAAGGGUUGUGACUUUUUUGAUGAGUUGUGACUCUUGCAAAGCAUUGCUACUUCUCUAAGAAAAUACAAUAAGCACAUGUUCAUACUAUCCUUUGCUAGCUAUAAAUAAAGGGGUUUCCUCUCAUUACUAAACAUACUACCUUAUAAGCAAGAACUUUCUAAUUUGAAUGUUAAAUUACUAUAAUAUCCCAACUAAAAACACCCCAUAACUUGAAUGUUAAAUUAUUAUAAUACCCAAUUUAGUAUAUCUUUGAUAUUUUAUAUUUAUAUUUAUUUAUAUUACAUUAAAAGCAGACACUUUUUUACACUUCUAAAGGGUUGUGACUUUUCUAAUAAGGCCCCAUACACACUAAUUCAUACUACCAUUUGUUGGCUAUAAAUAGAAAGGUUUCCUUUCAUUUUCAAACAAUCAAUUUUCUAAGUUUUCUACUCUUCUUAUACAACUCAAUUGCGAUUUGCAGUUGCUAAGUUAUUUCAAAGCUCAGUGGAAUUAAAGGUGUCAUUAUUUCGCUGAAGUAAAUCACUCUAUCAUCCUGGGAGGACAUAUUCCAUAACCUCGGGUACUUGAGGGGAAUAAUUUCCUUUAAGGACACAUCGUGAAUUCAGUGAACUUGAGUUUUCAUUCUAUCAUCUUGGUUUAUUAUUAUUACUUUUGAGUACUAUUCAUGUUUUAUUGAAUACAUAUUUAGCAAGUAACAAAAUAAAAUGUAAUCACAAAAUAAUAAAAAGUAAUUUUAUUCAUCAAUAUUGUGAAUAUAACUCUGUUCAUUCCUUAAUUAUUCUCUGUAAAUUUUAUCCGUUAUUUGAGGACCAUUAAUAGCAUAUUUCUCAAAUGUAGGUUGAUUUGGACAAGAUAUAUUUGAUCACGGGGUAAAUUUUGAGAAAGAUUGUAUUUGAUGUCUUGAUCUCUUUCUGAAUAUCCAAGGAUCAAAUUAUGGGAUAUUUGAGAUGUCAUCUUCAAGAGAAUAGGUGUCCCUUUUUAUAGGCUUGAGCAAGAUUUAAGGUAGAAUAACCUCCAAGAUUUUUAUUUUUCUACUUUUUUAGAAUUGAUUUUUCUUUUUGAAAUUGCUAAGACGGCUUGAUAUAUUUUUAUUUUUCUACUUAACCAUCUCAAGUUUAAUCAAAAUGAGUAUCAAAGUAGAACUACCAAAACAAUGUAUAUUUUUUCACAUAUAGUAAAAGUUUACUUAUGAUAAUAUUAUUGCAUUAGAAGUCAUGAUCCACAAAAUUUAUAACACUUUAAAAUUUGUUGCUUCCAAAUUCAAAGUUAGUGUACAAUUUAUAAUGGCUCCUUGAUAGUUUAAUUGCUCCAUGAAAAAAUUCUUGUUAUUUGCUUAAGUAAUAAUGUAUUUUGUAAUUGUAAAUUGAUACGGAUACACAUUGCUACCCCCUUAAAAAAAAAGAACCGAAUGAUACAUGAUUUUGAAAGCUUGUGUUUGUUCAUGAUAAAUUUGAAUGUGCAUCAAAAAAAAUUUGCAGGGGACCUUUGUGAGGGACUUUCACAAAUUAUUUUUCAAUUAUUCUUUGUAUUGUGAAGGAACAUUUUGACGUCACGUGACUGUUGAUUUGUCUUAGAUAUAUCACAUAUACAUAAUUUGAUAUGCACGUGCAACACAUGUAUCGAGAAACUAGUAAGAAUAAAUGUGUGAAAAUUCGAGGGAGGAUGUGGACCAUCCAUUAUUGCACUCAGCCCCGACAUUGGCUGAACCUUCUUAGAAUCAUUGGACAACUAUUAAGCUGGAAAUUUAGGAGAAAAAAGAGAAGUGUAGGGAGUGGCACGUUGAUGUGACUACCAGGAAAGAACGGAAUUGAAGAGCUUUUCAAGGGGUUGAAAACCUUUGUACGUAUUACACAAAAUCUUGCUCUUCUUUUUAAGCUGUAAACUUGCUAAGCACCUAAGAGAUCCCAAUUAGUACAAAUGACUUGGUGCAUUUUGCAGAGAUUUGUGUGAAACAAUUCCGAAGAGGUUUAAAAAAAAAGCAAUGCAGAAUCAAGUUGGUUUAAAUAAAACAAAACUCCAGAAAGAACAGCCACCAGCAAUUUUUUCGAGAGAGAAAAGUGCAAUCUCCAAAAAGCUAAUUAAAACCCACAAGAUCUCGUUAUAGAACCCUACCAAAAACUAUAGCUGAAGUUUUAAAAUUACCUUGACCAUUAAGGCAUAACACAUAGAUAGACACCUUAACUCAUUAUAGAACCCUACCAAAAAAUAUAGCUGAAGUUUUUAAGUUACCCUGACUAUUAAUUUUAAGGCAUAACACAUAGAUAGGCACCUUAACUUGGCCUUAACUGGCAAGUAAACACCCUAACUUUGAGAAUGUACAUCUACACACCUCAACUUGGUUUAAGUUGGCUCCAUAACAAGGCAUUGCACGCGUGUUUAUGGGGGCCAACUUAAACCAAGUUGAGGUGUCUAGAUGUGCAUUCUCAAAGUUGGGGUGUUUACUUGACAGUUGAGGCCAAAUUGAGACCAAGUUAAGGUGUCUAUCUAUGCAGUAGAGCAAUACAAAAAGGUUUGAAACCAACGCCUACAGCUUAAAAAAUACAUCAGAAACUAAAACAAAGCCUAAACUGAUAAGACAUGACCUGCUUCAGCACUGUAUUUUUGGUUUCUAUUUUAUUUUACAGAAUAUGGAAAGAGAAUUCUUACAGCAAAGAUCUGGCAUUAGUUUGACAAGACGAUAUCCACUUCGAAUAGGAAGCAACAACCUCUGCAGCUGAUUUAUAUACCUGGAACAUCAACAAAAGAAACGGAACAUAAUUAAAGAGAGGAGGAGGUCAAUCAAAAAGUACUACACUUUGUCAUAACUCAAACCUAAUGAAGCAAAUAGUUAGUCCAGAAUCACUGUCUACAAAAUUUUCAGUAUGUUUCUCUUUCUUCCAAACAACUUCAUCUAUUCUAGCAUCCCCCUUUGGCAACGAGGAUAAGAGAAACAAGAAAAAUCGAGUAAGAUAACACAUACAAGUUUCAUGAAGCCCUUAGCAUCAUCCUGUGGCGUACUAGAUAAAAUUGUGACCAACUGAAUAACAAAUGAGAAAUCAAUGUCAUGGGUCUCCGUGAUAAUACCUUCAGCUAUCUGAAAAAGAAAGGAAAUCACACAGUGAACUUCCUAGCAUGAUCAAGUUCGUGUCCUUUUCAUAAAUGAAAACUGAAAAGUGAUCAUUAAAAGAAAAACAACAUGAUUUGAGCAUGCAAAUCACAAGUGAAGCCAAUGAAGAGCGCAGAAAGCAUGACACACUAAUGUCAAAUUACCUGUUCUUUUAUAAUCAAAUCAUGCAGCACACAAAGGAUUGCUGAAAACAGCUAGACCUCGAAAAAAGAAAAAGAUCUCUACAGAAAAUACAAGUACAUGAUCACAAACUACAGCUGAAAAUCAUGCAUGUACUCCAACAGAACAAAAGAAUGUAAAGAAGAAUUUGCUUAGAGAUAUCUCAAGGAAGCAUUGUGAUCACAAAAGAGCGUACAAAGGAAGGAAUGACUUCAAUCACUUACUAUUACAUCGUAAGAUUGUUGAUGCCAGGGAAUUUAAUGGCUGGCAGCCUGGCGCAGACAAAGAUCUGAUGCGGGGCAGGAGAGAAGAGAGUUGGGCAGUAGCAUCUCAAGAAAAUACUGAUUGUAUGGAUUUGUAUCUCUAAUUAGUUAGAAACAUUUUGCGAAAAAAAUUAUAAAUAUAUAUUUUAUUUAUUUUCAUGACGGUGGUGUCCUAGCCAGCUUGCGCACACCUGGCGUGCUUUGUAUUAGUUUCACAAAAUGAAAGAAAGUAUAAAUAACAUUGUGAAGUGAUUCCUACUAUGGCAAAGUACUGAACACAAAAUAGUUUCAAAAAUAAGAAAAAAGGUUUGUUAAGUAUCUUUGGGAAUUGAAGUCACAAGGCUCAAGAAGCUUACCUUCUCAUUUAAGAGGAAUAAUGACCCGAAUUUAUUGGUUGAAAUAGAAAAAUCAGGGGAUAGCCUUGCAGUGCACUUGUGACAACCAACUUACAACUUAUGGCAGAGGGAGUUCAUUGUUUAAAGAUCUUGAGAUGCACAGAUGAUGAGCUGGGAAGUUAAAACCAUCUUACAGAAUGUGACUUGACACUGCUUACUAGGGCAGUGUGAUCUGAAUAUUCAUGUCUACUCCAACUAGUAAUUAUUAGGAGACUUUGGGCCAAAUCGUGUGUCACUUCGAAGGAACACCUGCCGCAGUCUGUUAUAUAGAAACCACUUGGGUGUUGUUCUAGAUGCAAAUCGGAGGGGAUCUAAAGUUUUCCGGGGAACAAGAGGAUACAGAUCUUGUUGGAUAUAAUUCGGUGUAGUAUAGAAAGUAAGAAUUAGUGGUAGUCCCCUGAUCUAGUGUUGAAUCAAAGUAAUGAGCUAUGUCAUAAUCCAUUUGCAAGGUAAUGUAGACAUGCAGUUGACAGAUGAGGUUAGUCUUAAGACAACUCAACCUGCUAAGUUGUAGUGUGAUAAUCGUGAUGCUCUCUAUAUUGCUUCUAAUUUGGACCUUCACAAGGUAGGAGUAAGGCUGCAUACACACCACCCUCCCCAGACCCCACUUGUGGGAUUUCACUAGGUACGUUGUUGGUGUUUACGAAAAGAUAUAACAGAAGAUUAUCUUGAUGAGACAUAUCAUGACAGGAGAACAGUUAGGUGAUGUCUUCACAAAAGUCCUGCAUGGAGCUCUAGUUAACUAUGUGUAUAACAAGUUGGACAUGAUUAACAUCUAAGAUCCAACCUAACACUGUAGUGAAAAGCCAAUCAAUAUGUAUUUUGUAGUGCUGAUAUAGUUAGCAUAAUUGUAGGUACUUGUAUUGCUGGAGAGAUUCCAGGGACUUGUCUCUUAUUAGUUAAGAGAGAUAUUAGGAAGAGGCUUAUACAUAAUCUUCCAUUCUACCAAAUGUGUGAAAUAUAAUCACCUUUAAUGGCAUAUUCUAUAAACUAGAUGUCAAUAUGUGUUUACACAAACUGACAUGAUCAUGACAACUAGUGCAUGUACAGAAGAUACAUAGGUAUAGCACAAUUGGAGAUGACAGAUAGAAUGACAUGGAGGUACUAAGGGAUAUCACAUUUUCUGUACAGAUGUAUUAUGUAGGUCUAGCAGGAGGAAACAAAAUGUCAGGUGAAAGACAAUAUGGAAGUUUGAAGCUCAAUUUUACUGUUAACAGCUUUAAGGACAUUUCCAUCAUUUUAACAGAAAAGUGCUUAUCAACACCUUUUACCAAACAUAUCAACAACUUAUUUUUCAGUUUUAGCACUUCUAUUCAAACACGUAAUUGCUUAUUCAUAGAUUCAGCCGAAACACUUAGAAGUGUUUUUCAACACUUGGUGCUAAAAAACUACUUAAAUUAAGCUAAAUCAAAUGAGCUCUAAGUAAAUAAUCCUCUCUCUAAAAACUUGAGCUUUUAGUGGUCAUACAAUUCAACAUAAAAAGAAGUUUUUAUUUUGUGAUCGUUUAUUGUAUAGAUAGAUAGGUAGCUUACAUAAAUGAUAAAUAAUAUAAAUGUUUUGGCACCAUUUGGUGAUUUAGUAAAACAACUUCGAAUUUAUAAAAAAAAUACAUUUGGACAUUUACUUGGGGGUUUAUUUUUUUUGAUAACCGAGAAAUCCAUCUGCGACCCGCCCUUUGGACCAAUCACAGCCUUCUAAACUCGGUGGAUAAUGGGCCCGCCCCUCUACCCUUCUCCACUUAAAUACCGGGCUUCGCUUUGCAUGGUGUGGGACUUGAACCUGCGACCUAAUCCACAAAUCCUCCACCUUUUGCCACUCGAGCUAGGCCUUGGGGGCACAUUUACUUGGGGGUAUAUUAAGGGAAAAAGGCAAACACCUAACCUAAGAUGAAGUUAAUGUUUUGACAGAGAUUUCAGUGAGUGGGAUUUAUUGUCAAAAAUGUCAUAGCAAAGAUCAUGACCAUUAAUCUGUCAAACAAUUUGAGGAUAACUAAAUAAAAAUGUCACCAGGUAUAAUUCAACUUCUAAUUAUCACGUAGUUCAGCUUUGGACUAUAAGAACUUGGAUUCUAAGAACAUGAUUUUAGCAUUUCCAAACACAUAAAAUAAGCGAUUCAUAAUUUCAAUUAACGACAGUUUUGAGGAUACGAGCUUUAUAACCAGACAUAAGUGGGAUCUGCUUUCACCUAUGGCAUAGAUGCAGUUAAAAGUAGGUGUUAACUACAACGAUUGAGACUUUGCUUCUCACAAAGCUGCAUGAGUUCAUACAGCAGCUAAAAUAGUGUCAAUGCUCUAUGCUUUUAAGUACUAACGUUCUCACUGUUCUGAUACACUUCUACCUUACAAUGCUACACAUACCAAUAACAGGAGUAUAGACAAUCAUCCAGCAGGUAUUGUCUUAUUAGAAUCAUGCUUCCAACUCUACCAAGCAAUUGAUGGCUUAAACUAUCCAAGGUUGAUUGCUGCAGUGACAGUUACAAAUGUAAAAUAUACUGUUGUUCCUGCGAUUUCCAGAAGAAUUCAUGGUUUAUUUUCUCUUCUAUUUGUCCUUUAUGCUUUUUCUUCUCAUUUUCUGCUUCAGAUUCUGACCUUGUCCCAAUGCUAAUUAGCAAAACCCACAAAGAAUUGAGUAUAAUAAAAGCAUUAAGUAGGAGAUGAGAGCAAAACAAUGCAUAUGUUACUGUCAAGGUUUUGGUUCACAGUACUAACCGCAUUAAGUGCAAACAUUUUAGCUUCCACCUCCUUCCAAGGAAUAUGUACAUUGUUACUGGUCCAACCUCCAAGGAAGAUCUGGUAUAAAAAUAAAAAAGCAAAAGUCAUUUCACUAAUAGAAGAAAGAUAAUAAAGUUGCUAACUUGAAAAUAAGUUCCAGAGGUAUUUGAAAGCCUGUCAAAAGGUGAAAAGAAAAAUAAUUGUAAAGGGAAACAACCAAAUAAGAUCAUUAUUUAGCAGUAAAUGCAAAUAUGACAAGGAGAUACUGGGUAGAAAACUAGAUACGGAUAAUUCUUGCAUAUUUCUGUUGAAGUUAAAGAUGAGAGGGUAAAAUGGAUGGUGCCAGGUAUUGAUAGGAUGAGAAGGAAGAGAAGUGACAUACUUGAGCAACCCAGAAAAUACAAAGUGCCAAACAAAACAAAAACAAGUCCAAUAAAAAAAAAACGUUGUUUCUCGGGUUAGGUUCAAAUUACAGUCAGCUUAUAUAUUUCUGGAAUUAUCUGGUCUAGUUUUUUGAGUCAAGAAUGGAAACUAUGGAAAAACUUGUGCAGGAAUUUCCAGGAUUAUACUAUGGCUGCUACUCAAAAGAAUUUGUGAAAUCAGAAACUACUAUUUACCAACUUGAACAAAGAUAAAUAGUCAAUAGAACAAUCUCAAACAAGGUGAACACUCAAGAGGAUAAGAACAAUUUAAUGCAGCUGGAACUAGAGAUCCAGAAGUUAGCUAAGGAUGAAGAAACUUCUUGGUGACAAAAAUCAAGGUGCUUGUGGCUGAAAGAAGGGAAUAGAAGCACUAAAUAUUUCAAAAAAAUGGUCAAUUCUCACAGAGGGUACAAUUACAUUGAUAAGUUGCAAAUGGGGAAUGUAAUCAUUGAAGACAAAGAGUAGGUGAAAGAGGUGGUUUUUGAUUUCUAUCAAGAUUUGUACACUGAAAAUGAGAACUGGAGGCCUUCUGCAACUUUUGAUGGUUUGGGAAGCUGGAAUGCUAAAGAGAACGAGACCUUUGAACCUAAUAUGCUUGGACUCGGGUGCAGGUAACCGACGCAGAUGUGAAUCCAAGGGGUGAAUCUGGCAAAAUCUAAAUUUUUAGAUUUGGGGCUACGAUUCCAAGUAUGGAUACGGGUGUUGGAAUUCGGCUAAAGAAAUCCAAAAUUAUAAAAUUGAGCUAUAACGUUAUUCUAAAUUUUGAAAGAUCUUCUAGGUCGUCAUUCCCAAGGCCCUCAACUUUUUCUUUCACGCUCUCUGGUUGUUCCCCUCAAAAAAGAAAAAGAAAGUCAUUCAAGGCUUUCCACCAACUCUCCUUACAGAUCGUUGCUACUGUCUACCAAAAGUCAAAACACAACCGCUUGAAUUCUUAGUUUCUCUUCGUUUAGCUUGAAACAUGAAACAACGAAUAUUGACCAAAAGGAAAAGCUAAAAAAAAAAACGACGAAGGGACUAUAAUAUUUAAGGUAUGCCUUUUCUCAUGUCUUAAAUCUAUAUUAUCUUUUAUCAAAAUCUCAAUUUUCCCCAAAAUUUGUCCAUGUACUCUAGUCAAAGUAUCCAAAGUGGGUUAACAGAAUCCCACACGUACUCCGCACCCGUCUCUUGUCGACACGGGUGCGGCAGCGAAAAUGAAGAGUCCAUGCAACUUAGCCUUGAAGAUGCUUUUAAUGAGGAGGAAAUCUUGAAUGCUAUUAAUUCUUGUGCCCCUGAUAAAAGCCCCAGUCCUAAUGGAUUCUCAAAGACUUCUUAUCAAAGAUGUUGGGGGAUUACCAAAAGGGAUGUUAUGGGAAGCCUCAAACAAAAAAAAAUAACCAAAAAAAAAAGAAAAAAAAAAAAAAACGACGAAGGGACUAUAAUAUUUAAGGUAUGCCUUUUCUCAUGUCUUAAAUCUAUAUUAUCUUUUAUCAAAAUCUCAAUUUUCCCCAAAAUUUGUCCAUGUACUCUAGUCAAAGUAUCCAAAGUGGGUUAACAGAAUCCCACACGUACUCCGCACCCGUCUCUUGUCGACACGGGUGCGGCAGCGAAAAUGAAGAGUCCAUGCAACUUAGCCUUGAAGAUGCUUUUAAUGAGGAGGAAAUCUUGAAUGCUAUUAAUUCUUGUGCCCCUGAUAAAAGCCCCAGUCCUAAUGGAUUCUCAAAGACUUCUUAUCAAAGAUGUUGGGGGAUUACCAAAAGGGAUGUUAUGGGAAGCCUCAGUCACUUUCACAGAAAUUGUCACAUGGUAAAGUCUUUCAAUACUUAUUGUAUUGCACUUAUUCCCAAAAGAGAAGGUGCAAUUGAACUCAAAGACUUAGACUUAUUAGUCUCAUUAGUCAUUGGUAGUGUUUACAAGUUAUUUUUUUGGUGAAGUAAUUAAAUUGUAUUAGAAAGGCAUCAAGGAGAUGCAAUGGUUACAACUAAAACUAAAGUUGUGCAAGAACCUGUAAAGCAGCCAAAAAUAUAAACCCCCUUAAACCCUACUGUGCUAGACUUAGGGAGCUACCAAAAUCCAGAAAAUUAUCCAUACUGUUAAUAGGGGAGAGAAGGUGUCAAAUAUAAAGACUAACUAAACAUCUAGUCUUAAUGGUGCUCAUGGGAAUUGAUAUUCCAUCAAAGAAUCUACAGUUUCUCUCUUUCCAAAUGCCCAAAAAAUUACUGUUGGGAUCAUCCUCCAGGUACUUUUGAUAGUGUUGUCAACUUUCCGACAUAUCCAGCUAGCAUAAGCAUCUUUGAUGGAGAGGGGCAUAACCCAUUGGAGGGCCAAACAAUGAGAAGAAGAAAUGCCAUAUGCCAACUAUUAUGGAGCAGUGCAAAAAAAGAUGAUUGACACUUUCAUUAUUUUGUUUACAGAAAAGACAUCUAUUGAUGAGCAUGAUGCCAUUUUUCCUAAGGUUGUCUUGUGUUAGACAUGCCUUACGAAGGGCUGUCCAUGCAAAACAGGAAACCUUAAGAGGUUGUUUGGUCCUCCAAAUAUGCUUCCAGGGAAAGUCUUCAAGUAUGUCAUUCUGGGCACACCAGUAGUUUAGCUUUUCUUCAUAGUGUAGAUCCGUUCCUUGGAGCUGCCCCAAAGUAGUCUAUCUGGAUUGAGAACAUCAGUUUCAUUUUUCCAGUGUUUGUAACAGGAGAAGAAAUUCAUUAUUUUCCCAAUCCUGCAGAUACCUUCUGAAAAUUAGACUCCAAAUAUUGUCAACUUUGUAUCGGCCAUUGUGGAAAGAACUCCUACAAAACAGUGCCCCCAAUCCACUAGCCUAACCAGAAUCUUAUGUUGAGUCCAUUGUCAGGUUUGAAGUAAACGUUCUGAAGAAACUCAUCCUGGAAAGUACUUGUGUGUUUCCAGACCCCUACACCAUGAGGAUCUUUGCUCAUCUUUGGGAUCCAGUGAUCAUGAGUUCCAUAUUUUGCUUCGAUGAUGUCCUUCCAAUACCCUGCCUCAUUCUGCCCAUAUUUCUAAAGCCACUUCAUAAGCAGGCAUUUGUUAUGCAUCUUUAGGUCUCUAAUUCCCAACCCCCCUUGGGCCUUGGGUAGAAUAACAUUUUGCCAUUUCACCAGAGAGAACUUAUGAGUUUAGUUGUUACCUUCCCACAAGAAUCUUCUCCUUAGUCUUAUCCUUCUAUAUCCCCAAGUAAAGCUCUUCGCAUCGCAAUGCCUAUUGUGUUAGCUUGUCCUUUCAUAAGUGGAGACUAAAUAAAGCAUCCAUAAUAAAGGUGUUUACUGUCUGUUCUUGAUUCAGCACACGUCCUAGACGACGUUUUUCUUCCUGGGCUGCAGUAAGUAGAUCGAUCUCAGAAAUAAAAAAGAAUCUUCUCCUUAGUUUGUCUUCCUGCUUCAACUCUACGGGAGGCAGACUCAGAGCCUGUUUGGAUUGGCUUAAAAGUUGGUCAAACCUACUUUUAAGUCAUAUUUAGCUUUUGGGAAUGUUUUGCAAAGCUAAAAUAACUUGAAAUAAGUUAAAAAUAACUUUAAAAGUUAAAAACCAAAAGUAGGACUCCCCCUAUUUUUUAUUUUUUGACUUAAAAGUCAUUUAAAGUUUGAAUUUUUAUUUUUUUGACUUAAAAGCUACUUUUUUCAGCUUGUCCAAACGGGAUCUCAAUCUAAUCAAUAGUGUUCUGGACAACAUUCCUACCAACUAUAUGCCUUUAUUUCCUUCGUCUCGGGUUAACUAUGAGAUCAAAUAAGGUAAUUGGGAGACUGGUCUCGGGUUACAAAAAUGUCGUUAUUAAAGGCAGGAAAAUCACUAAUGCAACCCUCAUAGCUAAUCAAGUGUUAGUUGGUGUCAAAAAGUGGUGAUCCAGGCCUCCUCUUCAAGCUUGACAUUGAAAAGGCUUUUGACAAACUCAACUGGCAUUACCUUAUCUCAAUCCUAAGGCAAAUGGGAUUUGGGGAAAGGUGGAUCAAAUAGAUAAUGUUCAACUUCUCCACGGUGAAAUAUUCUAGACUUGUUAACAGAACUCAUGUGGGAUUUUUCUCCCCAAUGAGGGGAAUUAGGCAAGGGCUCCCUUAUCUCCCUUCCUUUUCAUAUUGGCAACGGAGGGUCUUAGCAGAAUAUUGGAAAGGGCCAGACAAAUGCAAUGGUAAAAAGGUUUUGAUGUUGACAGAGACCCAGGCAGUUCAGUCUCCAUCUCACACCUUUUAUUUGUUGAUGAAACUCUUAACUUUUGUAGUACAAAGAAAGCUCACGUCCAGUACCUGAUUAUCACCCUCAUGCCCUUCGAGGCAAUGUCAGGACUCCACAUUAACAUGUCAAAAAGCAUCUUCUAUCCAGUUAAUGUGGUUCCUAACCUGAAGGAAUUGGCUGAAAUUAUGUUCUGAAAUAUUGGUUCCUUCCUCACUACUUACUUAGGCCUCCCUCUAGGUGCCAGCCAUAAGACUGUUGAGUUCUGGAAAGUGGUAAUUGAAAAUUUCGAGAAAAGAUUGGCAUCCUGGCAGCAACAGUAUCUUUUCCUUGGAGGCAGAGCAACACUUAUUAAUAGUGUUUUAGACAGUAUCCCCGCCUACUUCAUGUCCCUAUUUCCUAUUCUAGGCAUGGUGCAGAAACACCUUGACAGGAUUGUCCCUAUUUCCUAUUCUAGGCAUGGUGCAGAAACAUCUUGACAGGAUCAGAAGGUCUUUUUUUAUGGGAAGGGAAUAGCACAACUCACAUAAUUCACUUGGUCAAAUGACCCAAGGUCAAUCUUCCUAAAACUCUUGGUGGCCUAGGUGUUACGGAUAUAGCAUUCCACAAUAAAUGCAUGUUAAUGAGAUGGAUUUGGAGAUAUGACCAGGAAGAUGCCGGUUUUGGAAGGAAGUUAUGCAAGCAAAGCUGGUUUCACCAACCACUGGUGUACGGUGUACCAAAGUGGAUGGAACAAGGUAAUGGAAGGGUAUCAGGCUCUUAUGGGAAGCCUUCUCACUCAGCACAUCUCUUCAGGCAGGAAAAUGGGGAGCAUAUACUGUUUUGCAAAGACAAAUGGUUAGGUCUCAAUCCUCUGAAGGAUACCUACCGAAGAUUGUUCUCACUAGCUACCAACCCAGACCCCAUUAUUGCUGAGAAUAGGGAGGACAACUCAUGGAAUUUGAUACUAAGAAGAAACCUAAAUGACUGGGAAAAUGAAGAUUUCCUAGCACUCCUUAACUGCCUUCAAAACAGCCCAGUCAACAGCCUUAGGAGAGACAGAAUCAAAUGGGGCAGCAGCAGAAAUGGGUCUUAUACAGUCAAGGAAGGAUACUUGCGCUCUGAGAUCCAAGAAGAAUUUGAUUGAUCAAUGGCCUUGGAAGCUGAUUUGGAGAACUAAAUUGCUACGUUUGUUUCUCCUGGAGCACUCCAAAGGGUGCAACUUUACCUCAAGACAAUCUUUCCAGGAGGAAAUUUCUGCUUGCAAACAGAUGCUACAUGUGUAAGUGGCUCAGUGCAGCCCUGGAUCACUAAACCACUGUUCCUUCACUGUCCAUUUGCAAGAGACAUAUGGAACAUGUUAUAAUCACUUUUUGGUCUUCAUUGGGUCAUGCCAUGCAGUGUGAAAGAGGUUUAUCAUAUUUGAUGCUCAUGGCCAGUUGGGAAGACCAUCAAAAAGUUUUGGUCUUUGAUUCCUGCUUGAUUUUUUGGUGUAUAUGUUUGGUAAGUGUUAGAAUAGGAAUAGGUUUAUACAAUCCUAUUAGAAUAGAAAUAGGUAUAUACAAUUCUAUUAGAAUAGGAAUAGUAAUAGAAAUAGAAAUAGAAAUAGGAAUACUAAAUAGUAUCCUACUUGGUAAAGGAUUGUAUUCUAGGGUCUCAAUGUAAUAAUGUAAACAACGACAAUUCAAUAAUAUUCUUUUUCCUAUAUUUCUCACAGAAAGAAGUCGUAGAUUUUUUAUGGCAGCCAAUUACACUCUUAAAGCCUGAUGUUUAGUUAAUAUUUUUAGUUGGGCCAAUCUCACCCAUGUAAUCAGUCUUGACUCCUUCGUGGAUUUUAUAAGCUCUUCAGUUCUUUGAUCACCCCACUUGGUGGGAUUCACUGGGUAUGUUGUUGUUGCUAUUUAGUUCUUUUAUAGUUUUUUGUCUCCCUUUGGACUGAUACUUCCAUCUUUUAUAAUCUGUGCAUCUUCUUGAUGCUUUUAUUAUUGUUAUUUUUCAAAAUUUCAUUAAAAAAAAGGAGUUAAAUUGAUACAAUCCAUACUUAAUGCCCUUCAAAUAAAUAAGUUAUUCAACUCGUUUUUAAUUGGGUUGGUUGGACAAAUAUUUGGAAAUCUUAUCCAUUUGCUAGCAGUUGUUUUUUCAUCAAGUAAUAAAUUUUAAUUAACAAUGGGCACAAAGUUUACCCAUAUACAAGGAGCAUACUAACUUUAGUUAUUUCAGAUGAGAAACAGGCUUAGAGAUUUCGAGUGCAACUAAUAUGAAAUCAACUUUAUCUUUAUUUAAAACAGCACAAAGUAAUAAGCCAACCCAAUGACACCUUCUGGAUAAAUGCUGCAGAACCUAAAAGCUGACAAACAUCCACCAAAAGCUCCGUCAGGCUCAUCCUGAAUUGUUCAAGGGUGUCAGGCAGGUCAACCAUUGCACCCUCGCCAUAAAAUGUAGAAUCAUCCACCUGUUUAAGUCGAAACCCAUAACACAAAAUAAAUAAAACAGAAAAUAAAGAGUAAGGAAAAGAUGGCAUUAAUUUGAGCUUACUUUUAUGCACUCCAAUUAACAGUAAGUACAAGGACAUUCAUUGAAAGCUAGCCAAGGAAAUCAUUUUGAAACUAGUUUAUCAAAAUGAUUUACAGCUUACUUUAAAGAAGUUAGUCUACCACUAUAGUACAAUAUGUUUAUAUUGAUGACAUCAAAGCAUGAGCAAAAAUUUGACCUGUCCACUAAUCAAAUUUUAGAGGCAACCUCUAACAACCAAAUUAUGUAGACCACCCAACAGACUUGAGAGAAAGGGAGAAUAAAAAAUUGAGAAGAAAAAAGUAACUGACAAUCCCUUAGUGUAGGAAAAAAUAAGGCAAGGGGUCGUUUGGUUGGGAACAAGUUAUCCCAGGAUUAGUUAUCCUGGGGUUAGCUAUCCUGGGAUAACUUAUCCCACAAUGUAUAUGGGAUAACUCAUCCCAUCACUAUGAUAUAAAUGGUGGGAUAAGUUAUCCCAAACAUGGCAACCAAACAAGAUACAAAAAUUUUAUCCCAUCACUAUUUAUUUUAAUACCUCACACCAAACGACCCCUAAGAGUCUUCCAGAUUAUCUGCCAAUUAACCUAUGACAUUAUUGCUGGUAAUUCCUUCAGUGAAGCAUGCUGAGUUGAGGUUCUUAUUUUUAUUUUUAUUUUUAUUUUAAAUUAAAGUUGAGGUUCUUAUUGUUUUUUUAUUUUUAUGACCGUGGUGUCUGAUGUGAGGCUAAAAAUAUAUUUUCUUAUCAUUAUUUGUCUCACAUUUAUUAUUUAUAUUUGCCCUUUUUGAGCAUGGAUUUUAUGUAGGAGUAAAUUGGUGUAAAGUUGAAGAAGUUUGGAGCUAAAACGAAUUAAAGAUGGAAGGUUGAAGAAGGUAAUCAAGCAGGCAGCUUAAUGGAAAUAAGUUAAUAUAAUAUUAAUAUAAUUUAUAUUCAAAUAGCAAAGAUGCAUAACACGUGGCAACCAUUGAAGGCCACAGUAAAAAGUUGAAGGCGGCACAGCUUCGAAAAACACUUGUUCAUGCUACCCUUUGUUGACUAUAAAUAGAGGGGUUUCCUCUCAUUUUUCAACCACAUGUUUUUUUUUAAAAUCUUCUACUCUUCUUCUUGCAUUAUAAUUUUUUUUGUGUCAUUUAUCGUCGUUGAGUGAAUUUGAAGUUUAACAAAAUAUGGGGCACUAUUAUGAUGAAGUAUAAAUCGUUCUAUCCUAAGAGGGUAUAUUCCAUAACUUCAAGUAGUUGAGGAAAAUAAUUAUUUUUUGCUUAAUAUAUACAUUAGUAUGUAAUGUUCCAAUAUAUGAAGUUAACAUGAUGUAGUCUAUUUUCAUUUGUUUUUGUUAACAAUUUCUUUUGUGAUGUAGAUAUAUGCUUCUGAAUAUCUUUUUCUAAAAUUUAGAAAAUUGUCAUGAUUUGUUUUUUUAAUGCUCAAGACAAAAGAAUGACUUUAUUUAUCAAUACUACUUAUGUGAUUUAGAUUGUCAAGAAGCUUGCUUCAAAAUAGUUAUUACUAUAUAAACAUUGUCUUUUUGUUUUACUUAUUUACUAUUUCAUGAUAUUUAAGUAUUUUAGACAGAGAAAUUCAUAUGACUGUAUUAUCGCAAGUUGAAAUUUGUAUUAGUUUAAUUUUUUAUUAUUUAUUUAAUAGCUAAUUUUUAUGAGAUAAAUAUUUUUCAUUAAUGAAAAUAUAUAUUUACAUUUUGGUAGGUGUUUGUACUUAAAUUAAAGUAUUAUAUAUGUCACAAAUGUAUUAUCAAGUUAACAAGAUCUUCUAUGUUUAAAAUAUUAUUUUAAAAUGUUCCAAGUUAUUUAUUUAUUUUAAAAAUAAACACUCACAACAAAUGUGAAAAUAUGUGAAUAUAUAUGAAUCAUUUAAAAUUUAUCAAUUACAAAAUAAAUUUUAUAUUCAGUAAUACGGAAUAAACAUUUACAUUUUGCCCCUACAUUAAAUUAAAAUCUAAUAACUAAAAAAAUAGUAACAUUAAUUAAAAGUCCUAUUUAUUUAUGUACGUAUAAAAUUUAAUAGAAAUUCAGCUAUUGCACAUUAACUCUUUUACGUUCUAAGGUAUAACAUUAUGAAUUCCAUAGUUGUUACAUUAAUUUCUAUAUUUCAUCUAUCCUUAUAUUACCUUUUGACCAAUAAUUUUUCAUAUUAUUACACCGCCCAUAUAUAUGUGAUAACAUGGUGUUGUAAUUUUUCCUUUGACGAAUCAUACUCGGUUGAAUAAAUCGAAACAAUUUACGAGUAUAUGGAUUAUAUCUUUUUUAGGUGUAAGAUGAACAUGUAGUUAUAUAUAUGAAUUCACACAUAAAAUAUAUUCUUUAAUUUUAAUUUUUAGUUUUUUCUGGUAAAAAAAAAAGAGAAGCUUUCUCAGUUAGCAAUGGACAGUCAGAUAACUUUCUUUUAUUUAUGUACACAGUCAUUCAAGAAGUCAAGUCUGAGAGCCAACAACAAGAACAUCAUCUAUUAUGUGAUAACUUAUAAAAUGUAGUUGUUCUCUUCACAUGUUCAUAUGACAUCUAAACAGUUUAACGUGAAAUACACGUGCAAACAUCUGGUUAGAUGACAAGAAAAAUACACAACAAAUAUCGUCUAUAAGAGAUAUAUAUGACGAUCCACAUUGAAUAUUAACAAAAGAAUCUGCAAUAUUAUUUUGUGCUAAGCUUAGUAUUCAAAUCUUCGCCUAAAUAAGCAAUACUAUUUACUAUAACAUAUAUUUUUUGAAUUAGAAAACACGUGUCAAAAAACUAGUACUACCUCAAAAGUAUGAACUACCUAUCUUAAAUGUUAACUUAUUAUAAUAUCCCCGACUUAAAACACCAAAUUUAGUAUAUAUUCUAUAUUUUAUAUUAUAUUAUUUAUUAUUUAUUUAGUUAUACUAUAUAAUAUUAUAUUAAAAGCAGACACCUUUUCACAUUGAAGAGUCUUGACUUUUCCAAAGAGUUAUGACUUUUUCGAUGAGUUAUGACCUUUUCGAAGGAUUGUGACUUUUCUAAUGGGUUGUGACUUUUUCCGAAGGGUUAUAGGUGUUUUUCGGAUAUUGAUUUGACAAUUUUAGUAGUAAUCAUAAGAAAGUUUACAUCCACUAUUCAUAGGAACUUAUACUUUAUUAUUCCACUAGUAAAAUUACCUGCGCUUUGUGCAGGAAUUUGAUAUCACAAAACUUAUAAAAUAAUACAUAAAACCUAUCAGUCAUUAAAACUAAAACACUAUGUUAUCUUACAUACAAGAUUACGUAGUAACGAACAUUAAUAAUAAAAGGAAAAUAAUUUGAUUUUCAAUCAUCUUUUGCCUCCAGGAAGUGUUACUAUUUGAUUUUUUUGGGAAAUUAGAUGAACAUCAACAUGAGAUAUUAAAUUUUCUAAUAAAUAAAUAAUCUUUAUAUGUACUAACAAAUACUUAUAACAAUAACUUUUGCAGAAACAUAAACAACAAAGUUUAAAACAUGUACUCAAAAACAACAAUUAAUAUCAUAAGCAUAAAUUAAUGACUGUAAAAAAUAUACUAGGAUCUAUAAUAAUAUAAUGAAACAGAAAGGAAAAAAUUGAGCCCAUUGAAUGCACAAUGUCCCCUUAAGGAAAUUAUUCCCCUCUAGUACCUGAGGUUUAAAGGAAUAGAUCCUCUCGGGAUCCUCUUGGGAUGGAACUAUUCUAUUCACAAGUGUAUUGAUACAAAAACAAUAGUGUCAAUGAGCCACUCAACAAGAGCAAAAUACACGAAUAUUUAAUUGUGCAAAAGAAGAAGAAGUUUAGAAUUUUCGUUGUUUUAAAAUGAGAGGAAAUCUCUCUAUUUAUAGGCAAAAAGGGUAGUGUGAACAAAUGUUUAUUGUCCCUUAUCGGAAAUGUCACAACUCUUUGGAAAAGCUACAACCUUUUAGAAAGGUCACAACCUUUCAUAAAAGUCACAAUUUUUCAUAAAAGCCGCAACUCUUCAUAAAAGUCGCAACUGUUCAUCAAAGUCACAAUUUUUCAUAAAAAUCACAUCUUUUCAUGAAAGGGGAAAGGUAUUUUUGGAAAUAAAUAAAUUUAAAAGGAAAUUCUUGCUGUGGUGGCGCCACGUAAGCAGUCCUAGGGUUCUCUUUUAUAUAAAUAUAUGAUUUAUAAUUAUGUACUUGGAUUUUUGAUUUAAUAGUAUUGACAAUGUUUUUUAAAUAGUGUAGUGCAUGGUUACAAAAAGAUGAGAUGUCAUAUCAAAAAGGAUUGUCUCAAUAUAAACACAACUUUGAUUAACUACAACUAAUUAUUGAUAUCUCAUCAAUUCCAGAACAAAGAGCCAAGGGUCAUACUUUUCCUCCAAUUUCCUGAUGAUCACAGUGAAAGAACACCCAAAUUUAAGAUAAAACCAGGGAGAAACAAUAAUUUUGGAUAGACAGAAAACCUUGUUAAGUGCAUAGACAGAAUUUUCUUUCAAUUAUCACAGCUAUACUCUCUGUGAAGCAUAAAAUUUAUCAUAUAACAAUAUUUUAAAAUCCAACAAAUGCACAUGCUAAUGGAAAGGUAGGUCAAUAGAGUAAUUUGUGGAUGGGACUAAAUAGAAGCAGAAUAAAGAAACAAUCUGCAGUCAAAAUGCAUGCAAACAGAAGCUAACCUGAGAACGCAACAGAAGGGCAUCCAACAACGCCGAGAAAACAGGAAAAAAUAAGAUCUUGACGCUCUUAACAUUUUCUCCACGAUCUGCAUCCAGGCCUAGGAUGUAGCCGGCAAGACUGCACCUGCAAAGUGAGAGUGUUCUUGGAUAGGGGGAACCAUUUGAACUACACAUUUCGUUUCAACAAUCUGCUCUGGACCCUGUCUAUAGUUAAGUAACGGGCCCCGAUUUGUACAAAAGUAACUUUAUUAUGAAAAGGUAAAAGCACCAGAACUGCAAAGUCGAGUCUGCGAUCUCCCAAUCUUCACUUGGAAAUGAAACACAACUGCCAUCAUACAUUGCAUGUCAGGUACUUAUAUUUAUAAGUAAAAGAUGUUUCAUUAGAUGAAAGCUCCCAAAAAUUAUGUACAUCAAAAUAGAAACUUCCUUAUCCGCUAUGAUUGAAGGGAUUCUGAGAAAAAAAAUUGAAACAGUAACUUGGGAUUCUAAUAAAUUUAAAAGUCAUCGACUUUGUCUUCUAGCUUCAGAUUGCACCAGGUGUUCAACAUAUGCUAAAAUCUAGACCUAAGACAAAAAAUUGUUGAGUAUUUGUCUUCAAAGCAUUUGUUUUUUCUUUUUCUCCAAAUUAUCCAAGAAAUGUAAAUGGGCAUCGUGUUCCACAUCUGCCGGAGGAGCUUCCUGACAUUCUAUCCUUGCCAUGCCAACAGAGCUUCUUUAAUAGAUUGAGGCGUCACUCACUGAAUACCUCCCACAUGUAUAGGAGAUUAUGAUUAAUAGAUUCAAUCUCCUGCACAAGAUCACCUAUUACAGAAAAUGAACAUUUUUCUUGUAUGUCUUGCCAUCUAUAAUCUACUCCUGCUGGUUUGCACAAAAUUUUAGCAAGAUUUGACGGUAUAGUUUCCUUUGCUAUCGGCAUCCCAAAAUAAUCUGUCCUGCUCUGUUGCUAAUAAUAGAAGCUGCCAAGUUGUAGAAAAAGUUGAGCCAGUUUUUCUGUUUCCCAGUUGAAACAAUUUCUUCUGACCAUUAAAUUCCAUACAUCUCCAAAUCUGCAUUCUGCCAGUGUGGCAUGUUGUUUCGGAACUAAGCUGUACAAAUCUGGGACGGAAAUCAUCAAGGGGAUUCUUCUAGCCAAGGAUCCUCCCACAUUUUUGUCUUCCUCCCAUCGCCAACUGAUAUCACGGACAAAUUUUUAAGGUCUCCCCAUAAGUUUCUUAUUUGUUUCCAUAGAGCAAACCCAUAGGAAUAUCACUUGUUUGAUACACCAACAAUUUACUGUUCCAUAUUUUGUAGUGACAACUUUUCUCCAUAAAACAUCUUGAUCGCAACUAAACCUCCAAAACCAUUUUAAAGUAGACUUUUUUUUAUGUAGUUUCAAGUCCCUCACCCCUAUUUCACCCCAUUGUUUUGGAGUUGUGACUGUGACUGCUUCACUAAAUUAAAUUUACGGCUCUCCAAAUUCCCUGACAAUAGGAAAUCCCUCCUUGGCUUGUCAAGCUGAUUUGCUAUUUUUGAGGGUGAUAAAUGUAGAUAAAAGCAAUAUGUUGGCAUCCGACUAAGACACUAUCUGUGAGGGUAAGUCUUCCCCAGCACACCUUUCAAGAUUACUCCUUGUCUAUGUUGAGCUAGUGGUAGACCAAGGUAAGUAACAGGAAAAUGUUCCACUUACAUACUAGUAUUGCAGCCAAGGAUUGAAUGUAACUAACUAUGUUCACUGGAAACAGGCAGCCCUUGGACAGAUUUACAUUAAGUGCCAAUAUCAAGGUAUCAUCUGCAUACAGCAAAUAUGAAAGCUCCCGCUGAUUUGAUUUAUUUUUUUAAGGUAAAUAAAUUUAUUAAUAAAUGGGGAAACCCAUAAAUAAAAAGAAGAGAACCUACAUCAAAAUAUGGUUCUCAACAGGAAAAAAGCUCCAGCUGAUUAUUACCCCCAUUUCCCACUCUAAACCCUUUGAUCCAACCCUUUAUCCCUGCGACUUUUAAAAUCUUGCUCAAAGCUCCCAAUACCAACAGUAGCCCACUGGUGUACCAUUACUGAGGAUAGAGAACUUCACAGAGGCAGUGGAAUCUUUCACCAAUCCACCCAUUUGUCAAAAAAAUCCAUGUGUACCAAUAAUUUUGACAGAAAAGACUUGUUUACGCGGUCAUAGGCUUUUCCAAAGUUCAGUUUACAAACUGUUUCUAACUUCUCCUUACCUCAUUCUUGAGUCCAAAUUCUCAUUGGCAACUAAAAUUGUAUCCAUAAUUUUUUCCAUGGAUGAACAUGUUCUAUGUGCCUGAGAUCAAUCUGCCCAUAAUACUUUUCAGCCUCUUAGUGAGGACUCUAGCUAUGAUCUUGUAGACACUGCCUAAAAGGCAUAUUGUCUAAGAUCUUUAAGCUAUGUUGCCUCUUUCUUUUUGGAGUUAAUGCGAUGAAGGUUGCAUCUAGACUCUAGGAAAAAACCACCUCCAUGUAUAAAUAUUCAAAAGUUGCCAUCAGAUCACACAAGCUUCAUCUCCUGCACUUUCUUAAGGUCAUGAGAACUUCUUCCUCUGUAAAGCAUCUCUGCAGCCAUUCCCAGUCUGAUUCUGAAAGUUUUACCAAAUCUGGGCUCCAACUUUCUGCUUCAUGGCGCAAUUUUUUGUAAUAAUUCAAGAUUUUCCCUUUUAUUGAAGUAUCUGGAUACACAGCUUCUAUUCCAUCAGUCAGUAGUUUAUCAAUGUUGUUAUACCUUAUAUAAUCAAGUGCUUAGAAUUUAAUUAGAACAUUAAGAGACUAUGCAUUUAUUUGAUUCAAAAAUAAACUAUGCAUAGUUAUCUUGAUGUUUGUUGUGUGAGAAAUAAAGGAGAAAAAUAUUAUUGAAAUUGUGUUUUAAUUAUUACAUAGAGAACCCUAUUUAUAGACACUAUGAUACUAUUCCUUACCAAAUAAGAGACUAUAAACUAUUCCUAUUAUGUGUAGGAUUGUGUAUACCUAUUCUAUUCUAACACUCCCCCUCAAGCUGGUGCAUACAAAUUAUAUGUACCUAGCUUGUUACAAAUGUAAUUAAUACAAGGACCGGUGAGGAACUUGAUGAAGAUAUCUGCAAGUUGAUCAUUUGACUUCACAAAUUUGGUAACAAUAUCUAGUAACAAUAUCUCCUGAGAGUAUCUUUUCUCUGACAAAGUGACAAUCAAUCUCAAUGUGCUUAGUCCUCUCAUGAAAGGGUGAUCCUGCCCAAUCAGCGUCUGUAUAUCCGGUGAUAUGCUCAUGGCCUUGAUCCUCGAAGAGUAGUCAUUUACCAGGAGCUGACUUUAUAUAUCGCAUAGGACUCUAGCUAUGAUCUUGUAGACACUGCCUAAAAGGCAUAUUGUCUAAGAUCUUUAAGCUAUGUUGCCUCUUUCUUUUUGGAGUUAAUGCGAUGAAGGUUGCAUCUAGACUCUAGGAAAAAACCACCUCCAUGUAUAAAUAUUCAAAAGUUGCCAUCAGAUCACACAAGCUUCAUCUCCUGCACUUUCUUAAGGUCAUAUAAACUGACUUACAACACUCACAGGAAAAGAGAUGUUUGGUCUAAUCACCGUGAGAUAAUUCAACUUUCCAACCAACUGUCUAUACCUUUCAGGAUUACUGAGUUGCUCCCCCUGUCCUGGAAGGAGUUUAACAUUCGGAUCCAUAGGACUGUCAAUGGGUUUACAUCCCAUCAUUCUUGUCUCCUCAAGAAUGUUUAAAGCAUACUUGUGUUGAGAAAUAACAAUACCUGAUCUAGACUAUGCAACCUCAAUACCUAGAAAAUACUUCAGUUAACUUCUUCCUCUGUAAAGCAUCUCUGCAGCCAUUCCCAGUCUGAUUCUGAAAGUUUUACCAAAUCUGGGCUCCAACUUUCUGCUUCAUGGCGCAAUUUUUUGUAAUAAUUCAAGAUUUUCCCUUUUAUUGAAGUAUCUGGAUACACAGCUUCUAUUCCAUCAGUCAGUAGUUUAUCAAUGUUGUUAUACCUUAUAUAAUUAAGUGUGACCAUGCAUUUAUUUGAAUCAAAAAUAAACUAUGCAUAGUUAUCUUGAUGUUUGUUGUGUGAGAAAUAAAGGAGAAAAAUAUUAUUGAAAUUGUGUUUUAAUUAUUACAUAGAGAACCCUAUUUAUAGACACUAUGAUACUAUUCCUUACCAAAUAAGAGACUAUAAACUAUUCCUAUUAUGUGUAGGAUUGUGUAUACCUAUUCUAUUCUAACACUCCCCCUCAAGCUGGUGCAUACAAAUUAUAUGUACCUAGCUUGUUACAAAUGUAAUUAAUACAAGGACCGGUGAGGAACUUGAGGCCAAUGACGAACGGCAGCCAUAGAUAGAAAGAGACGGACAAAUGCUAUUUUGGCCACAGGAGCGAAAGUGUCACUAUAAUCUAGCCCAAAUAUCUGAGUAUACCCUUUGGCAACAAGGCAAGCCUUAAGCCGAUCGACUUGACCAUCUGGACCAAUUUUGACCGCAUAAACCCAACGACAACCAACAGUAGACUUACCUAUAGGAAUUGUAGGGCUAGCUAAAAUCUGAUCACGCACUGAAUCAUGGUUAGUAGAAAAGUCCAGCAAGUUUAAGAAUUAGAAACAAUGUCUGUCUGUGGUCUUGUUGUUUUUUGCACGUCCGUAGUGACUGGCAUAUAUGUUUCAAAUUCCUCCAUGAUUGUACACACAAGUUCCAUAUGACCGGUUUCUCCAAACUUCAAUUCUCCAAGCAACUGUUUGAUCCGAACUAGCUCACAAGUUGCUACAACCAUUGCUCGAUAUUAUGCUUCCGCACUGGAUCCCAUGACUGCCUGUACCUGUCCCAAGUAAGUAGACAUAUCGGAUUCUUGUUUCUUUAAGUUGGUCAAUCGAGAUAUCACAUCAUAGAAUCGAGAUAUGUCAUUAGUGUAUAAAGCACAAGCCUUUUUCCAAACUGAAUAACAUGUUUGGAAUGGACGGAACAAGGGCAUCAACUUGGAAUCAAUAGAUCGCCAUAGGAGACUACAUAAUUGAGCAUCAACCUUCUCCCAUUGUGCUUUGGCUUUUGCAUCUUCCCCACUAGGCUUUGCCUUUUCAUCUACCACACAAGCAAUGUUCGUUAAGUGAUCUUUGACACCUUGACCCUUGCACCACAACUCAAACGAGGAAGCUCAAGCUAAAUAAUUUGAGCUUCCCAUUAACGGUUCUGAAGUGAUCAUUGGGCUGAAACUUCCACUUUUCGGGCCAAAAAUAUCAAUCCCGAAAAACACUGUAAAAUCAGGCAAAAAAAAAAAUCUGCCACCUGAAAGUGGACAGAAAUCAAAGAAGAGAAAAAUAUAAUUAAUUAUAUCGGUAGGGUCAGAAUUACGAGGCGACCCUACUGGAAAAAAAAUAUGCUGAAAAAAAUGGCUGGAAACAGCCUGAAAUUGCCGGAAAAGUGGCUGAAAUCGCCGAAAUCUCAAAAUAAUCAGAUCUGAUUGCAAAAAAAUGGUCGGAAUCAGGAAAUAAUUGAAUGGGUAGGUUCAAAAAAGAAAUCCGAGGUGGUAUGAUCUGGAAAAAGAAAAGUUGCCGGCGCGUGGUCAGAUCUCGCCAGAAAAUUCACACCUCUGAUCGGCGCAUGAGGUGGUAUUUUCCGGUGGGUCUGGCUAGGGUUUCGUCGCCGGAGAAUGAGGGACCCACUAGUGGUGUUGGUUUUCACACAACACUAACGAAAAGAGAUGAUGACAAAAUUCAACUUUGGCAAUAGCCGGAAAUUUCUAUAAAGGUUUCUCACCGAUGCUCUGAUACCAUGGGAGAAAUAAAGGAGAAAAAUAUUAUUGAAAUUGUGUUUUAAUUAUUACAUAGAGAACCCUAUUUAUAGACACUAUGAUACUAUUCCUUACCAAAUAGGAGACUAUAAACUAUUCUUAUUUUGUGUAGGAUUGUGUAUACCUAUUCUAUUCGAACAGUUGUUUUCACCAAGAUUAAUAAUUCCUUAUAUUAUAUUGGGCCCGUGCUGGUACGGGCAAUUCCCCCUAGUCAAUACAAGUGCCUAUCUUGGUAAAAGAGGAAAGAAGUAGGGACAGUAUAAAGAAAGCUUCAGAUUACAGAAAACUGUUUCUAACUUCUCCUAACCCCAUUCUUGAGUCCAAACUCUCAUUGGCAACUAAAAUUGUAUCCAUAAUUUUUUUUCCAUGGAUGAACAUGUUCUAUGUGCCUGAGAUCAAUCUACCAUAAUACAGCCUCUUAGUGAGGACUCUAGCUAUGAUCUUGUAGACACUGCCUAAAAGGCAUAUUGUCUAAGAUCCUUAAGCUAGGUUGCCUCUUUCUUUUUGGAGUUAAUGCAAUGAAGGUUGCAUCUAGACUCUAGGAAAAAACCACCUCCAUGUGUAAAUAUAAAAAGUUGCCAUCAGAUCGCACAAGCUUAAUCUCCUGCCCUUUCUUAAGGUCAGGAGAACUUCUUCCUCUGUAAAGCAUCUCUGCAGCCAUUCCCUGUCUGAUUCUGAAAGUUUUCCCCAAAUCUUGGCCAUCCAAUCUGGGCUCCAACUUUCUGCUUCAUGGCGCAUAUUUUUGUAAUAAUUCAAGAUUUUCCCUUUUAUUGUAUCUGGAUACUCAGCUUCUAUUCCAUCAAUCAGUAGUUUAUCAAUGUUGUUAUACCUUAUAUAAUCAAGUGCUUAGAAUUUAAUUAGAACAUUAAGAGACUAUGCAUUUAUUUGAUUCAAAAAUAAACUAUGCAUAGUUAUCUUGAUAUUUGUUGCUUUCACCAAGAUUAAUAAUUUCAAUAUUAUAUUAUAUUGGGCCCGUGCUGGUACGGGCAAUUCCCCCUAGUCAAUACAAGUGCCUCUCUUGGUAAAAGAGGAAAGAAGUAGGGGCAGUAUAAAGAAAGCUUCAGAUUACAGAAAACUAUGCUUACGAUGGAGCCAACAAAAUGAUGAUAGAAGUUAGAACCAAGGAUUUUAUGCGUCUAUUAAAGAAAGUUUCAUUUAGUGAAUUGGAGAGACGUCACAUCUCUGAAGGAAUGGGGAGGACUCGGUGUGAAAUAUCACAUGGUAUUCAACAAAGCGUUGUUAAGGAAUUGGAUAUGGAGAUUUGAGGUGGAAGAGAAGGCACUUUUGAGGGGGGCGCAACAGAAAAAUAUGGUAUCAUCGAAGGAGGAUCGAUGACUAGAAACAUUGGAAUAUCGUUUAGAUUUGGCUUAUGGAAGAGUAUUUAUAGAGGUGGGAAGAGUUUAGUGGACAUAUCUCUUUUAUGGUGGAGGAUGGAAGCAGGAUUAGUUUUUGGGCAUGUAAGUGGUGCGGAGAGAACAAGUUGAAGGAAGUUUUUCCAGACAUUUAAGUUUCUUGCCAAAAAGAUAUGAUAGUCAAACAAAUUUAUAGGUCGCAUGAGGGAAGUUCAUUGGGAUUUGAGAUUUAGGAGGAACCUACAGGUUGGGAGAUGGAAGAGUUUCAUAUUAUGGUUGAGUUAUUGUAUGGGCAGGAGAUACAUUGAUAGAUCGGAUGGAUGGAACGACGAGAGGGUAGAAAUUGUUUUGUAACUAUUAAUUUUAUAACGAAAGAUUAUUAGGGAAAGGGGAAUGUAUCUUCCAUCAUCGCUUAAUAUAGAGUCUCACGGUACCAAGGAAGGUGUGUUUCUUUACGUAGUUAGCAGCAAGGGGAAUGAUCUUGACAACGGGAAACCUGAGAAAGGAAGAUCGCCUAUUUUAGUUGGUGUUUCAUGUGUAAAUGUUUGGGUGAAAAGUUAUAUUGCAUUGUCAAGUGACUAACCGACUGGGGAAGGUGGUUCUUUAUGGGUUUUGUUGCAAUGGGUGAUGAUGUCGAGCACAAUGAAGAAGGUAAUGCCCAGUUGGGUUUGCAGAAGGGGAAAGAGAAAUUCAAGGGCAUAGAAUGUUGCCUCUUAGCAAUUACGUGGAUUAUUUGGAAAGAGAGCAAUGGGAGAGCAUUUGAAGGGGUCGGGCAUUUGGGUUUCUUUUGUUGACAACCAUAUUUUGAUGGUAUACGGCUUGUAUAUGGGGUUUCCCCCAAAUUGUUAAUAAAAUUAUUUACCAUAUCAAAUAAAAGAUAUUCUUGCAACACAUAAAAAGAAAUAUAAGAAAUGGCAUCUGACCUCAAGAGUGCAUCUGUCAGUACAAAUGCUUCAGGACUUGCUUCAGUAAUCAAAGACGGAGCCUAUUAUACAAGAAAACAAUAGUUAAUUAGUUUCAGAGAUCCUUGAUGCUAAGCUGUCGAAGCAUAGGUAGGACCCAUCUACUCUAUUUGGCUGCAAGAAUCAAUUCUAGCUCGGAGUUUGAAAUACUUACAGCAUGACCAAUUUCUGACAAAAAACAAGCAAGACCACUUAUCACAGUCUCGUCUCCACUAUUAAGAGCUGGGAGAAGAAGUACAUCCCUAAGAAAUCCAACCUUGCAUAGCAAAACUUGUGGUAUACACUGCAAAAGCAAAAGUAGAAAAGGUUGGUUUAAAAUCCAAAGAGAAUUAAGUUGGGCCAAUUUUGUUUGGUGUAAAUCUUCCAGAUGGAUCUCAUAUUAAUUAUUUUUCGGAAAAGGAUAAAAAAUGCCCUUAUGUGAAAUGAUCAAAAAUGCCCUUUGUUUAUACUUUGGUCCAUUUAUGCCUUUGUAGUCAGUGAAAUGGACCAAAAAUUCCCUUAAACGAAAUGAAAGCAAACGGGAAAUACUUAAACACUAAUUUUAGUAUUAAUUUGUCUGCCCCGUCUCUUCAUCUGAACCCAACCCCAUUUUUCUCUCAGAUUUAUUUCCUCCUUCAAAACCCUAGCCUCCUCGUCUAAAUUUCUCAAAUAUGCUUAAGUGGGUGUAGAUUUUUCUUCUAUUUUCGGUAAUUUUGACAUCAUUAAAGAUGAAAUAAGAUGAAUAGUUAGCCACCAUAGCCACUAGACUCCAACUCUUAAAUGAUAAAAUUACCUUCAAAAUCAUAUUUUUUUGUUGUUAUUUUUCUUUUAAAAAACUCCUUUUUACACUGUAACUUCCUUAAUUUCUCACAAACAACUCUCU